GAUCAGUGGUUGAGCCAUGAAAUUAAUUUGGAGGGGGCCAACAUUUAAGAAUAUUUGACCCCCUCGGGACUCAGGUGGCUUUGCCGCUGUGUUGAAAAUACGGUGCUCAAGCACCCAACUUCAACUGAAAGUCUGUCUCUAAUUUGUCCUUUCUAUUAUCUCCAAAUGUGGUUCUUUUAGGAAUAUCUUCUGCUGUGAAAAGGUCAAAGAUGACUUCAGUAUGACUAGGGUUUAUAUGUAUUAACAUUCUUUUCAAGAUCAAAAUGAAAGCAUUAUGGAAGUUGCUUCCAAAUUCAAUUCUGGAUUAAUAUCCUUUGUAUAAGUAGUUUAUGACUUGGUGUGCAGUCUUUCUUCAAUUAAUUCUAUGUGAUUUUUUUUCAAUUGACAAUGACUGUACAUCAGCUGUUUGAAAUUCAAGAAGGUUAUAGACAUGAAGAAAAUAUUUUGGGAUGAGAAACUUGGGAUUAAAACAUCUAAUAUAUAUCAAAUGCGAGAUACUAAUGUUUUGAUCUAACAAUUUGUAUUGAAAGAUAAACAAACGAAAGUGUUUGUUAAUAGAACUACUUUAUAGCUUUGUUCAGAAUCUUCCCUGCAGGAAUUUUUUAGACAUGCGAGGGAUAUAACUGGAGGUAGAAACUGAUUUUACUCAUUUCAUCUUACAGUUGAUAAAGUGAAUAAAAUCAGCUUUGCCCCCAAUGUAAUCUACCCUUAGAUGUCUAAAAAUAACUACUUUGCUUAUCCAUCUUUCUUGAAUUUCCACAGGGCAAAUGCUGAAUAGGUUGCAAAGUAAUCUUGAAAACAAAAGCUCUUGGUAUAUUUUUCUAUCCUCUAAUGCAGGUAGUACAUGUUUCUUUCCUUUCUUGCUAGGUCUAAAGACCUUUACUUAGCGUUUGAUAUAUCUAUAUAUAUAUAUAUAUAUAUAUAUAUAUAUAUAUGUAUAUAUGAUGGUUCAAGUGAAAAGUAUUACACAUCACUGUAGUCAUAAAUGUCGAAUUUGUUCCUAAAUUGUCGGCCUUAGCUUCGUGAGUGCAAAAAACUGCUAAAUUUAUUUACUCCACCUUAUAUCACAUUGCCUAUUCCUUACCCUGUUUUUUUUUUUCUUUUUCAUGUCUGGGAAACAUCUACCUUGAUGGUGUAAGCUAUUAGUAGCAUGUUAUACAUUGCUAGUCCAUUUUCUAACAGUUUAAACUUUCAGGAUUUUAGCAUGAUAUUUGAGCUCUAGUUCCAAGAGGUCUUAGAUUGGAGCCUCUUUGCUUAUCUAUUCCUUUGUUCUGUGCCUCACCAAAUGUCCAAAUGCUUUUAAAUAGGCUGAAAAAAGGAAAGAAGGGUUCAUAUCAUUGUCUCGCCCAUGGGAGUGUUUGAGCUUCAGAAGAGAUUUCCAUUCAGUCCCAUUUAGUCCUUGAAAACAAGUGUUGAAGAACAGAGCUCAUCAGAUUGCUGCCAUGAAGACAAUGAGCUAAGCUAGCUCAUCCCAAAUGAUUUGAAUGAAACAAAUGGAGGCUUCUAUUGGCUAUGUAAAUACUUAAUAACCUUCUCUUUUUGGUGAAAAUGUGGCUGUUGACUUUGGAGACCAAUGGGCACAAGUGUUCCCAUGGUUGGACAUGUAAAAUACCUUUAGAGCAGAUCAUAUAGGUUUCUUAUGAGCUUCCAUGGGUGAGAUAAUAUAUAAUUUCUUUCUUUUUUUUUUUGCCUGCGACAAAAUCUUCAACAUGUCCCUUAAGUCAAAUGAUUAUAUGGCUGCUUAGUGGUUACAUAUCCUUUUUAAUAAACUAUGCUUUCUUUAAUUUUUAUAUUUAAUGGGUUGUGUGGAGGCUUCAACACCAAGAAGUGCACAUUCUCACCAUUUCACUAACAUUUUAAUUACCCAAUUUCCAAUCAACAUAGCAUUGACUUUAUUCCUUCUUCCACUUGAUCACCAACUAGCCUUAAAAGAAAAUCCCAACUAACAUUUUUUGAGUCAAUUUUCCUCUAUUUGAUCAUUGAGCUAUGACCCAUUUCACAGAUAUAUUUUUUUCUUGGGAAACAAACAAUCAUAAAAAAAUACAUGAAACUAAAAGUAAUAUAAAGGGGAAAAAGGUUAUAAAAAAAAAAAAGCCUGGAAUUAGGUUAAUUAAUUUUCACAUAUAUCCCAACUAACAUUUUAUGAGUCAAUUUUCCUCUAUUUGAUCAUUGAGAACCCAUUUAAUAUAUAUAUAUAUAUAUAUAUAUAUAUAUAUAUAUAUAUUCUUGGGAAACAAACAAUCAUAAAAAAUAGAUGAAACUAAAAGUAGUAUAAAGGGGGGAAUUUUCUUUUUUUUUUUUUCCCUAGAAUUAGGUCAAUUAAUUUGAUGUCAACUCUAUUGUUGGAUUGUUGGAUAAGCAUUGAUUCCAUUACCAACAAAGCACAGAAUUUAAAAUUGGUAGAUUUUUUUAAAACUUUUUAUUUUUAUUUAGUUAUUUAUUUAUUUAUUUGAUUUUGAUUCGAUGAGGAUGACCUCUAGAGAAUAAAUUAUUGAAUGCUUGCCUUGUUCAAUUGCAUUAUUUUGAUAAUGGAAUCUAGCCAUCUAUGCUAGCUAGGAUUUGAAUAUAAGGAUUUUCACAAUAUUUUAUUUUAUUUUUUAAAAUUUUAUGCAUACAUUGAAUUAUAUAUUUGAUGUGUAAGACAACCUUUCUCUAUUACUAUAAUGAGAAUAUGAUAAAUGUAUUUUACAAUAUUAAGUCAAAAUGACAUAAUUAUCCUUAUUUCAGAAAAAUAGCUCUUACUUUUUUUUGUCUGAGAAAGGUUAUAAUCCAUGUUCUUGAAAAAUGAGAAUUAUUUUUCCAAUUUUAGAAUUAUUUUAUUUUUUUAAUUAAAUAAUUUUUAAUUGGAUUUUCUCAAAAAAAAAAAAAUUGAAUUAAUUUAUGAUCUUUUACAUAUUUUAUAUUUUAGACAAAACAAUUUACAAACAUUUUAAAGAAAAUAACAUUACCCCAAAGGAUCAAAACAUAGAAUUGAUAGUGAAAUAAAAAGAAAAAGACCCAUUUAGUUUCAAAGGGCUAUAAGCAAUAUGGCCCACACUUAGGAUUAGGCUUCCUAAUCUUAUCCAGAAAAAGGUACAAGUUGUGUAAUUCUUUUUAGACAUAGCCACUAUAUAUGGUUGAUAAUGGAUGCCACCAAGGUCUUUAUUGAUGGUUUUGAGAAUAGGAAAUUUACACAAGUUUGACUAUAAAUUUUUUUUGAAUUUAUUAUAUUCGAAGUGAUGUUUUCAUGGUUUAAACACUUUUUGUAUUUUUAUUUUUAUUCUUAUUGUACUUGAUGCAUUUUUCAAUCGAUCAUAUUUAGUUGUCAAUCUAUAAUCGAGCAUAAGAGAAAAAGAAUUUUGGAUGAUAGCCAAAACCCCUUAAUGAAGUUUUUAGUGAUGUGAUUGCAAUUAAAGGUCCAUUCGAGAAUAGCAUUGUCAUAUCAUUUGAGGAAAAAAAAAUAUCAAAAGAAAAAUAUCGUGACUAAAAUUUAAGUCAUUGUUAAAAGAACUAUUUAAUGUCAAAAAUAUACUAAAAGGAAAACAUCUUUUAGUGGUGGAUGAGCAUUUAGUGAUCACUAAAGGAAUAUUUAAUGCGAUCCUCAUUUAAUUGUUGCUUUGUCUUUCAUACCACUUAAAACUUUCGACAUCAUGAUUCAAAUUUUUUUAUGGUGACUUUAUGUCCACCAAUUAUAAUUCUUAUUUUCAUAUAUACAUGAUAUAUUGUUAGAAUUGAAAGCGACAUUAUUUCUUAAUUUUCAAUGUAUUCCAACAUUAUAAAGUCAAUAAAGGCUCAAACAAUGGCAUAUGCUUUCACUUCUUUCAAAUGCCUUCAUGUCAUCUACACUAAAAUGCUAUGAACUCUUUAUUCUAAUAAAAUAAAAAAAAUCAUUGACUUUUUCAAAUAUCAUUGUUGAUACCUUGCAAUUUAUGAUAAAUGAUAAAUCAAAUCAAAUAUAUAAUCAUUAUAGACUAAAAGAAAUUUCUUGAAUUACAUUAUUUUUGAUUUAUCUUUUUAGACUAUGUUUAGUUUCUAAAAAUUUUAAGAGGAAAAAUAGGAAAAAAAAAAAGUGAAAAAAAAAUGGAUUUAAAGUCAAUAAAUUAUUUUUAUAAUACUUUAAAUUCAUUUUAAUUAUUUUUUUCUCUUCUAUAUAAAUAUUAAAUAAUUUAAAUAUAUAUAAAUUUUAAUUAUAUUUUAUUUUUUGGCAUUUUUUAAUUAUAAAACCAAACAUGUGAAAAUGAGUUUACCUAGACUAUUUUUUUUCCUUAGUACUUUUCAAAUUGUAAAUAUAGUCUUAAAAUAUGUUGUCCAUAUUAUUUGAUUCAAUGAACAUGUAAGAGAGACAACUUAAAGACUAAACUCGAUAUGAAAGGGACGCUCCAACCAAUAUGUAGAUUUCUUAAUGUUUCAUUGUACAUAACUUCAUUUAUUUAUUUUUGGACUAGUAGAAAACACGUGUUAAUUUUUUUGAGAUCCUUUGCUUGUGAUUUAUUUUCAACAAUCUUUUGGCCAUUGUGUGAUAGUCAACAAACUACAAACUCCUUCCACCAAAGGAAGGGUUUCAUCUUCAAAAUACCUUACUUACAUAACAAGCUUUUUCCUUCUUCUCUGACUUGAUUCCCUCUUUUCAAGAGGGGUGGCAAAGAAAUUUAUAUAAAAAUAAAUUUUGAUUGCAAGGACAAAUGAUAAGUACGACUGUACGACAGAUUAGGGAUAAAUCAAUAGAAUAUAAAAUUUGACAAAAUUUUUAUAUUUUAAUAUUCCAAGGCAUCUUAUGUUUAAAUAUUAACCAAAAGCUUCUAGGAUAGACUAUGAUUGUCUCAUGUGGACUUGGUCCAUGGCACAAGGGUGGAAAUAAUUCGUUUAGAGUUUCUUUUUAUUAUUAUUAUUAUUAUUAUUAUUAUGUCUAAUUAGAAAAUUUUGAAUAUUGUAUACAAAUUUUUAAGUGAAAAAUAAAAAUAAAGAUGGUAAAACACUAUUAGAUGUGACUUGUCAUCAAGGUUUUAUUAUUAAGUAUAAGUUGCUAUCAGGGUACUAUUAUCAAGCAUGAGUUGUAUCAAAGGUCUAUUGAGUUGAAAACUAUAGGCUUUUAGAAAAAAUUUCUAUUCUUUAUAAAAAAAAAAUUAGAAAAACACGUUUGGUAUUGAAAAAAGUUUUUUUUUUUUUUAUUCUUAAAAACAAAAAUAGAGUAUUUUCAAAAAAUAUCUUUUAGUUGUUUAAAAAAAUAAUUAUACAAACAUAUAGAAUGAUUAAAACUAUAGCAAUAGAUAUAUGAAAUAUUUUUAAAACAUAUUUAAAAAAUAUUAAAAUAGGUUAAAAAUAUUUUGGAUUAUAAAAUAUCAUAAAAUAGUUUUCAAAAUUUGUUUUCAAAACUGUUUUCAAAAACUGUUACCAAACAAGACCUAAAUCUUUUGAUUUUUCUCUUAUUUUCUAUAAAUAAGCAUUAUUUUGAGUAAUCAAUAGUGCUUAGUUCUUUAGUAUGAGAAUUAUUUUUUGCCUUUCUCUUGGAUUAUUUUGCAUAAAACAUUUAAUGCAUAUCCCACUCACAAAUCAUGCAAAAUUUCCAUCAAAAUAAUUCAAGAGGAGGUAAAUGUCAACUUGAAUACACAUGUGAGCAUAAUAUUAGUAAAACUUUAUAAUAAAAUCUUAUAUUAAUAAUAAAUUAUAAUAAUUUGAAAAUUUACAUACAUCUAGAAUGUUAAAAAAAGAAAAAAAGAAAAAAAAAGAGCAAGUUGACAAAUAUAAUCAAGUAACUAGAAAAAAAAAAUUAAAAAAAAAAACCUUGAAUUAUCACUCUUUUUCAUAUUUAAAAUAUGCCCAAAAUAUAUCAGACAAUCUUGGUUUAGUCAAAAAUAGGUAACCAUCAUCCAUCAAAUGGUGUGUAUAGUUGAUUUUUUUUCACUAAAUGGUGACAUAACAAAACUUUCAGUCAUUUGACUAUAUUACAAAGGUUCCAAAACAUCCUUAUCAGAUCAAAAUUCCACAAAAGCAAACCUCAAUAUUCAAUUAUUAAGACCCAUAAAUAAUUGUAUGAAUGCUCACUUGACUGUAUUGGGAAGGGUACACUGGAUCCACCCAUAACAACCCAAUAUUUUUUUAGUCCUUCAUAUAGAAGUUAAUUAAUUUAUAUUAUACAUUUUUUUUUUCUAUCAACAGCCACAUAAAAUAUAGAGGUGGGUUGGUGAUGAUGCCCUAAUAGUAAACUUUAGAGACUUUGAAAAUAUAUGCUCAACAUAACAUGUUGGACCAGCAUAUAGAUUACAUAAAAAAAAAAUACAAAUUGUACAAUAAUCCUUUUUUUUUUUUAUCAAUUUAUUAAUUGGGGUUUCCUUAUUUUAUUUCCAAAGUUUAAUAAGCUGCCUGUUUUAUUAGAUCUAAAUGGAAGGAGUCCUUAUUACCAAAAAAAAAAAAUCCAAAAAAAAAGGGAACAACAACACUACUUUUUGUGAAUAUCAUGGAUGGCAGGUGUAAGGCCUAAUUAAUUACAUGAAUAUCAAUACUUUUUGUGAAAAUAUAUUUCUUGUAAGGAUCCAAGCAUUCUUAAAUUAUAAAAGGGUUAUGAGAUGUUUUACAUGGAAAAAAUUAUUUGAGAAAAUAAUUAUUUUUACUUGGGUAUUGGUAAAUUUCUCUAAAAUUUUCUUUGAGCAUGCACAAGAAAAUUAUGUACCAUAACUAGGGGUAACAAAGUUUGACACAAUUCACCUAUACAAUACAAAUCCAACAUGUUUUUUUUUGCGGAUUUUGAUUAAGUAUAAAUGAGUUUAGUCAAAUUUGUGUGGAUAAUAUGUAUAAUCCGUUUAAUAAAUAGGUAAUUUUUGGAUCAACCUUCAUAACAUGAAUUUGGCCUAAUUAAUUAACCUGAUAAUCUCAUUAUUAAUUUAAUUAUAUUUUUAAACCAUUUAAUUUGAGUCAUUUUAAUUUUUUUUUAAAUAAAUAGGUCAAUUGACUCAUAAACAUAAGUUAAAAUAUUAAUUAUAUAGAUAUAUAAAAAAACCUAACUCAAACUAAUUAUUAAAAAAAAUAAUUUGAUUAUUAAAUGGUUCAAAUGAGUUUCAUAAUGUGUUAUAUAUUUAAUAAUGAAAUAGUAUUUAAAUUUAUGUUUCUAAAAUGAUUACUAUUUGGAAUUGACUUGAUCUAUAUAAUAGAAUAUUUAGGUUUUGAUGACAUAACCCAUCUAUACAAAUUGUCACACCUAGACAUUAUAUGUAAAAUAUAUGCAUUUAUUGAUAAUUUGAAAAUAAAUUUUGAAUAGAUUCUCUACUUCAAUUUUGAGAGCUUUUACAAAAUAAAGGUCGAUCAAGCAUGGAGAGAAGCAUUUUAAAAUAUUAUCAAAAUGGGAAAAAAUAAUUAUUAAAAUUGAUUUUAAAUAUUGGAACGUUUAUAUUGGGAAAUAUAACGGAUAGUGGGAAAUUUAAAAAGAAAAAAAAAUCAAAUAGGAAAUAUAACAAUAAAUAGACAAAAAAGGGAUUAGAAGGAAAAGAUAGGGCGAGAAUAGAGGGGAGCCGUGGAAAGGGUAGGGGGGUUGACUUGAUCAAGAAGGAAACGUGUCAUUGCAGGCUUUGUAUACGGCUCAGUACUUCCAACUGCGUCACCCCCACCUGGUUUUCUCCUAUCUUAUUCAUCACCUCUUCCUCCUCCGUACGUCCUUCAUAUAUCUCAACACAUCUUUUUCAAUAGUAUUUAAUUUACGAAUUUGACAUCUAUGUGUGAGUGAAUAUCAUAUAUAUGGUCUUCUUUCUCUCCUUGUUCAUACGAACAACCCCAUUAGUUAGAAGCUAGAAUAACAACACCUCAACACCUUUGUGCAGUUUCUCUCUUUUGUGGGGAUAGAUCAUAUAGGUUGUGGGUUGUGGUUUGUGGUUUGUGGUUUGUGAUUUGUGAUUUGUAAGGAAGGAAAAUAUAUUGAUUAUAGGGAGAAGAAAAAGGAAAAGGAGAAGGAUGAUGUAUGAACAACAACAGCAGGUGAUGAGGAUGGAUUUGAGGAAGAGGGAGAGGGAGAGGGAGAGGGAGAGGGAGAAGGAGAGAUCAAUUGAGGAAGAGAGGCUUGAGAUUGUUGAUUUGAGUGGCAUGUCCCUUGACGCUCUCCCUAAUCCUUCUCUUAACUUGGCUGCCAUCUGCAAGCUAGACCUCUGCAACAACAAUCUUCAGGUAUAUCCAUGUUCAUGUUUAUAUUUUUGGCUUUUGGGUUCUUCUUGUUUGGCUUGGUUUAGGGUGUCUAUGUAAUGAUUUCAUGUGUUUGAUCGAUGGAAGGUUAAUCAAUUCAUUGAGACUCCAAUGGAUGAAAACCCAUUUGGGGUUUACCAUUCUUCAAGUGGGAACUCAAAUGAAAUGGGCUUUUCUCAUUUUCCACCUUUUUGGAAGAAAAAAAAAGUCUUAUGGUUGUAUCAUGCAUGUAUUUUUCCUUUUCAUCUCAUGAAUCUUUUGAAUCUUUUGAAUCUUUUGAUUGGUAUAGAGGCUAUAAGAAGUCAUAUUCAUAGAACAAGUUUUGACUAUUUGAUAAUUUUUAUCAUUAAAUCAAGAUAAUUAAAUUUUGCUUAAUGAAUCAAUUUUAUCUUUUAUAGGUGUGAGAAAUUAAGGAAUUUGCAUGUGGAAGCUAAUUAGCCAAAUAUCUCCUAAAAGUGACAUAAACCUAUCAAUUGUCACACCAUCACCUAUGCCUUUGCAAAGUCUUCACAUGUCACUUAAUAUUUAUAUAGCUAUGCAUUUAUAUUCAAAUCCUUUUAUAUGUGUUAUUGUACUAAUCAAAGUUGAUUCAAAUUGGACAGAAUAUACCAGAAUCCUUAACAGCAAGACUACUAAAUGUGGUGAUAUUGGAUGUGCACUCAAAUCAGCUUAAAUCCCUCCCAAACUCAAUUGGGUGUCUUUCAAAGCUCAAGGUUUUGAACAUCUCUGGGAACCUCAUUCAAAACCUCCCCAAAACCAUUGAAAAUUGCAGGUUUGUUUUCUCCUCCUUGUGCAUCUCUUUCUAUAGGCAUCAACAUUUGAUCUUCUUAGUUCCACCAUGAGAGAUAUUCUUAUGAAUUUUCACAAAGAGAAUUCAACUUUGAUUGAUGAAGUUCAACAAAGUCUUUUCAACAUAAAUAUAUAGUUAAUAUACAUAGUACCAAAUUAUUAGUUUUCAUGUGAGGUUGCAACCACGUCAUGCAUUGAUUUGGAGGAUUAGUGUUUGUUUUUUUGAUUGAAUAGAAAAAAAAUAAAAUAUUUUAUUUUUUUUAUUAAGUUAAAAAUAAUUUGUAAUAUAUCAACUAAUAUAACUAAAAUAAAUUUAUUAUUAAUAUAUUUAAUUUAAUUAUAUUGGUUGAUAUUAUAUUAUUUUUUAUUAAAGAGUUAUUCAGUGUCCCUCUUCCUUUAAGAAAAGGUGGAAUUUCCUUUAUUCUCGGCGUGAUUGACUGAGAUUUUGGACCCUCUAUAGUCAGAGACUGAAGGAGAACUGUAUCAGAAGUCCUAAGUGCUCAUUAAAAAUAGUUCUAGGCCACCUUUGAGCAGCCCCAGCUGUCCAUUAACUCCAUUACUUACUAAUAAAAUAUGGGCGAUUGAGGACUGAGGAGAAUAUAAACAAUCAAGGUUCAAACCCUUGUGGAAAGAGUCUUAAUUACUACACGAAUGCUGAGAUGGUUGGAUUUGCUGUGCAAGCAAUAAAAUAGUUUUUGCCUCAUUUCUGGGGCAGAAAAUGGAGUCAAAUUGGAGUGGAUUCACAUGGUUGUGGCUCUUUAACAUUUUUCUUAUGGAUGGAGUCAAAGGCUAGAUAUCAACCCUCCUUUGAAGCUUAUUCCCAAGAAAUCCAAGAUAUAUGAGCUAUAUGUCUCUUUCCUCUUUUAAACAUAAAGGUUAUGUUUAUUCCCAAAAAGAAAAAAAUGUUGAAAAGAAAAGAUUUUCUUAUAUUUGAUUAUAUUAUAAAAAAUAAAAAUAAAAAUAAGAUAUAAUUAAAAUUAUUUAAAAAUUUAUGUAUUUUUAUAUUUUUAAAGUGAAAUGAGUUUAAAUGAGCACAUGAAAAUAAUUGAUUGAUUUUAAAUUUGUUUUUUUUUUUAAUUUCCUUCACUUUUUUAUUUUUUUUUAUUUUUACUUUCUAUUUUUUUUUUUCUUAAAAUUUCUAUUAACCAAACAUAGUUUAAGAUUUUUUCGUGAGGAUGCUUCAAGUGAUAAUUUAAUAUAAUAAAGAAUGAUUUUCUAUUGUAUCAUUCUCAAACCCGAAGCUUAGAUUGAAAAAAAUUCCUUUAAGAUCAAAUGUUAUUGCUCUCAUUUGAUGGAUUAAAUGUGAUUAUUAGUACAAGUGAUUAAAAUUCCAUCAAAUAUUUGUGGUUCUCACACAGGUCAUUGGAGGAACUGAAUGCCAACUUCAACCAGCUGACCAUGCUACCAGACACCAUAGGAUUUGAGCUAUUGAACAUCAAAAAGCUCUCAGUGAACUCCAACAAGCUCAUGCUCCUUCCUUCCUCCACUUCCCACUUGACCUCUCUUCAGGUUCUCGAUGCCCGGCUCAACUGCCUGAGGGCCCUCCCGGAAGACCUGGAGAACCUCAUCAACCUACAAGUCCUCAAUGUCAGCCAAAACUUCCAAUACCUUGAAACCCUCCCAUACUCCAUAGGCCUCCUCAUGUCCCUGGUGGAACUCGACGCGAGCUACAACAGGAUAACUACGUUGCCCGAUUCAAUGGGAUGCCUCAAGAAACUGCAGAAGCUCUGUGUAGAAGGAAACCCCCUCGUUUCGCCUCCAAUGGAGGUGGUUGAGCAGGGCAUGCAGGCAGUGAAGGAGUACUUAAGCGAGAAGAUGACGGCGGCGCAUAGAUGCUCACCAAAGAAGAAGUCAUGGAUUGGGAAGCUGGUGAGAUAUGGCACAUUCAAUGGGACAAAUAACGCUAGCCGGGAGGAGAGGGAAGGCUUCCUCAGGUCCGAUUAUCGGUCCAUUGAAGGCCUUGCUACUCCUAGAUCCGUUGGGAUGUUUUCACCAAGACGCCUCUUCUCACCAAGAAACUACUUCUCAAAAUGAUCAUCUAUACAUCAUCGUAGCUCUUCUUCAAGUAGAUUGUGGGAUUAUGAUAUAUAUAAUACAUGUUUGGGGUGAUCUUUAAUGGUACUGGUCUUUGUUUUUUGUGCUGAAUAAUAAAAGUCAAAAUAUUUUAUCUUUUUUCUUCAGCGAAAGUAACUUACUAAUAUUAAUCAAUAUAAUUAUAGUAAACUUAUUAUCAAUAAGUUCAAUUUAGUUACGAUGAUUUAUUGAUAUCAAUGUAUAACUUUUAAUUGAAUAGAAAAAAACCAAAAAACAAAUACCAUCACAUGAAAUAUUAGGUCUAUCAUCAAAAAAUAGUGACAGGGGUGUGAUUGAUCUACUUGCAUAGAGAUGUUCUAGGGCAAAUAUAUGUAGCAAUUUGUGUUGUAUUUUUAUUGUAAGUAGGUAUAUGCAUGCAUGCAUGGUUGCAUAUAUAUAUAUAUAUAUAUAAAUAUAUGAAUAUUGUAAGAUAAUUGUAAGAUUUGGUUACUUUAAGAGAUUAUCUCCUUUUCUUGGACACUUUUUCUGACCUUUUGGAAGUGUAAUAUUAAUCCUAUCACAAGAUCAAGACAAAAGUGGUUUGUUUAAAUAAAUUUAAAUUUGUCAAAUUUAUUUGAAGGUUAGGGCAAAAAUAAUUAGAUUUAGCUUUAAAAAAAAAUAAAAGUAUUAAAAUAUUUUAAGUUAAUUAAGAUUUAUCCUGUGGUACUUAACUUUUAAAAAAAGAGAAUAUUUCGUCACAGGACUAUUUGGUUUGAAAUGACGUCUAGCUGAAAUUAAAAAGAAAAUUUAAGAAGAAAGAGCCAAUUUUCUUCUAGAAGGGCUGAUCAAUACCCAAAAGAGCCGGUCAACUCAAAAGCCAAUUGACCAAAAAAGGCAAAAAGAAAAGAGGAGGGAAUCACAUGAAAUUGUUCCAUGGUCACCUAACUCUCCUUAGCCUUAUUAAUCCGACAUUGAUAAUCAAGAAUGGACGAAUCACAUGGAACUUUUUUUCUAGACUGUAUAUGGUUUUUUUUUUAAUAAUUUUAUGAUUUUAUUUGUUUUAGGUUUAAUGAAGCUUUGAAGCUUUAAAAUUCAUUUACGUAAUUAAGAAAAACCUAUGAUAUAUAUAAUGUUAAAAGAAUUUUUUUUUUCUUUAUCUGAAAAGGGCUAGGAGAAAAAUAGAGACGGUCCAAAAGGAGAAAAUCAAAGUUUAAAAGUGAGUUUCAAUUAUCUUUUUAAAAAUGGCAUAAAAGUAUUAUUAAUGGCGGAGUUAGAAAAUAAGUUGAAAAGAGAGUCGAGAACAAUAAUUUAUUUUCAAAUGGGACAAAAAAAAAAGCAAAAAAUAAUUACAUAUGUCUUGUGGGUGAGGUUACGUUUUAAAUUGAAGGAAGAGGUUUAAAUCCCGCAAGUUUUUUUCACAAAUUUCAAGGGAGCCACAUAUGCCCGCUAAGCAUUAGAUGACUCAUGAGUAUUAUUAAAGUAAUUAUUAGCUAGAAUACAAAUUAAUUUUUGCUUAUUUCAUCUUUAAAACUAGCUAUAACAAGAUCAUUUGGAUAUGAAAAAGGUAAAAUAAUUACCUUAUUAAAUGUAAUAGUUGGUUUGCAUUAUCAUGCAUUAAAUCUAGUUAUAACCUAAGAUAACAGUUUGCGAAACCCAUGUCCAACUAACUCUAAUACUAUUCAUGAUAACUCAUUCCCGAUCAUGUAGAUAUUCUUCAUUAUAGAUUCAAUGACCUAUGUUUUUUCUUAUCGAUAUGAGGUGUCACAAUUUUUUUUUUUUUUUUGAUAAGUAAAAAUAAGUGCAUUAAUAAAAAGGCAAAAAGCCACAAAGCAUAUAGGGGGUAUACAAGGCGACCAAGGCCUCAAAAAGCAAAGACAAAAAGAAUCGCUUCCCCUUAAGUGGAUGCUACCCACUCCAAGAAACCUAUAAGAGAGAAAGUCUCCUCACCUAAAUACAAUUUGAUCCAACUCCAUAGAUUACAAACAAAAAAAUUCUUUAACUUCAGAAUAUUCAACACACCGCCCCUAAAAGUUAAUCUAUUCCUCUCCUUCCAUACCGUCCAAAAAAUACACAACGGAAUGGAUUCCCAAACCUUUUUCCUUUUCUUCCCCACAAAGGAGCCCCUCCAGGUAAUUAAGACUUCCUUUACAGUUUCUGGAAAGACCCGUUUAACAUCUACUAACCCAAGGACAAUAUCCCACAAAGCUCUAACCACUAUACAAUGUAUAAGAAUAUGAUUUACAUUUUCUUCUUCACACUCACGCAAAAAACAACAAUUCAAAAGUUGCACCCCUCUUCUUUGGAGUCUAUCCAGAGUAAGCACAUUCCCCCACGUCGCCUCCCAAGCAAAGAAGACGACUUUAGUUGGCACCCUAACCACCCAAAUACUUCUUGAAGGAAAGUCGGUAUCAUUAGGAUUGGUCAACAAGCUAUAAGCUUCCUUGACCCUGAACUGACCAUUUCUUCCUUGCUUCCAAAUAAUUGAGUCUUCCUCCAAAGAAGGCCUAUGACCCCUCAGCACAUGGAGCAAAUCCCCAACCAUAUCUAGCUCCCAAUCAUUGAAGUCCCUAAAAAAAUUUAGGUUCCAACCUCCUUGACCAGAAUUUUGGUCCCACAUUCCCUCAACCGUUGAACUCCUUUGAAUAGCCAUGACGAAGAGAUGAGGAAAGCAAUGGGACAGUGUUGUAUCAGUACACCAAACAUUUGUCCAAAAUCCGAUCUUGGUGCCCUUCCCAAUUCGGAAUAUCAUGUUAUCCCAACACCAAUCUGAUUAUUUCCAAAUCUCAUUCCAAACCCCUACUCCAAUCGCUCAAUUAGCCUUCUUUGGCCUCCAUCCAAGACCCUCUUGCCCAUACUUCACCGUAAUCACUUGUUUCCAAAGAUUAUCUUUGUCACAAGUAUACCUCCAUAUCCACUUGCUAAGAAAGGCUUUGUUCAACAUGGCUAGCUUCCUAAGGCCUAGCCCACCCUUUUCCUUGUCUGUACAAACCACCUCCCAAUUAACUAGAUGAAUUUUCCCCUCCAAAUUUUCCCCUCCCCACAGGAAGUCCCUUUGCACUUUCUCUAGCCUUCUAGCAAUAAUCUUGGGCAUUCUAAAAAUAGACAUUUGAUAGAUUGACAUGCUAGCCAAAGUAUUUUUUAUUAAAGUGAUUCUUCCCCAUUUGGAGAUAUAUUGUCAUUUCCAAAGCGCAAGUCUCCUCCUUACUCUCUUUUCCACCCCAUCCCACAUAUAAGGAGCUCUAUUAGGAGCCCCUAGAGGAAGUCCCAAAUACUGAGAGGGUAAGGACCCCACCCUAUAGCCUAACUCAACAGCCAACUCUUCAAUCUCCUCCACCUCUCCAACUGGAAUAAUUUCACUUUUGGCUAAAUUAAUCCUUAGACCUGAAGCCGCUUCAAACCAGAGUAAAAUCCAACUUAAGUGAGUUAGAUGCUCCUUACUAGCCUCACAAAACACAAUUGUGUCAUCAGCAAAAAAUAAAUGGGAGAUGUUCAAAGAGGAUCUGCUGCCACCCCUAAUGUUACACCCUGAUAAAAAUCCCCCAUCCACGGCUCUCCUAAUAAGAACAUCUAACACUUCCAUUCCCAUAACAAAGAGAUAAGGAAAUAGGGGAUCUCCUUGUCUAAGGCCCUUAGUGCUAGGGAAGAAGCCAUCAGGCACCCUAUUAACCAAAACUGAGAAUUUGGCUGAAGACAAGCAACUCCACAUCCACCCUAACCACUUAGACCCAAAGCCCAUCUUUUGCAAAACCUUCAACAAAAACUUCCAAUUGAUGCUGUCAUAAGCUUUUUCUAUGUCCAAUUUGCAAAUAAGACCCUUUUAUUUUCGUUUCUGCCACGAGUCUAUCACUUCAUUUGCAAUUAAAGAAGCGUCAAGAAUUUGUCUUCCCAUCACAAAGGCAUUCUGAGAAGUGGAGACCACCUUUCCGACCACUUUUUUAAGCCUAUUAGCUAGCACUUUAGCCAAUAACUUAUAAAGCCCCCCUAGAAGACUAAUAGGUCUAAAAUCUCCAAGGUCCUCAGCCCCACUUUUCUUGGGAAUCAAAACCAAAAAAGUAUUGUUGACGCUCUUGAGGAAAGAGUUAUGCUCAUGGAAUUCCUUGAACAUUUCUAGGAUCUCCUCUUUAACAAAGCCCCAACAACUUUGCCAAAAAGUCGUAGCAAAGCCAUCCGGACUAGGGGCUUUAUUCCCAUUCAUCUCCAUCAAAACCGUAUGAACUUCAUCCUCUAUAAAAAGACUCUCCAGAUUCUCCGCUUCUUGCUGACUGAUUGAUCAAGCUGAAGCCUCCCAAUGUCCGCCUUCCACCCCGUAUCUUCUGAUAGCAGCUGAUGAAAAGCAUUAGCAAUUCCUUCCCUAACCUCUUGCUUCUCUGAAAGUCAUUCUCCAUUGAUCUUAAUUCUGUCCAAAGAAUCGUUUCUACGAUGAGCAUUUGUCAUACAAUGGAAGAAACCCGUGUUUCUAUCCCCCUCCUUCAGCCAGAUCUCCCUUGAAAGCUAUCUCCAAUGAGUUUCCUCCAAAAGCACCCACUUUUUGUAAUUUUCUUUUGUUUUUUUUUUUUUUUAACUUUGUUUCCUCCACAGUCAGGUUUCUCUUGCUUUCCAUCCAGUCCCAGAAAUCCAUUUGCUGCAAGGCUGAAGAUUUGUUGCAGUCCAGCCUCCUAAAAACUUAUUUAUUCCAAACUUUCAGCUUCUACUUGAUUUCCUUCAUCUUAGCAGCCAAUUUAAAUCUAGCACUGCCCCUGACUUCGAUCCCCUGCCACCAACUAUGUAUAAGGUCUUUGAAUCCCUCAACCUUAAGCCACAUAUUUUCGAAUCUAAAUGGAGUCAUGCCUCGUCUUAUCCCACCCCCCACUAAAAUGAUUGGGAAGUGAUCAAAAAUCAGCCGAGGCAACCUACUUUGAGUAACCCUACUAAAUUGGUCUAACCAGCUAGGGGACACAAGAAAUCUGUCCAAUCUUGCCCAAGCCUGGUUAUUGUGACCCUCAUUCCAGGUGAACUCUCCCCCCUGUAAAGAAAGAUCCACUAGCCCUAGAUCAUCCACAAUCUCAGCAAAUCUCGUCAUCGUUGAGUUUAUUAUCCUCUGACUGCUCAUUUCCCUUUGGAACAGGGUGAUGUUAAAAUCCCCCCCAGGCACCAGGGGUCUUCCCAAAGGCCUCUAAUCGCCUCAAACUCUUCCCAUAGUUCAUCCAUUUCCACUUUGGAGAAAGGGCCAUAAACUCCCGUGAACACCCAAACAACCCCAUUUUCUAUAUUCCUAAAUUUGUAAGAUAAAGUAAAAUGUCCCUCCUCCCAAUCCAGAAUGUCCAAAGACCUCUUGUCCCAACAAAUUAGAAUUCCUCCCGAAGCCCUCUUCGCAUUCAGAGCUUUCCAAUCUAAAAAUCUCCCAGAGCCUAAACUUCUCACAAUACCCUCCGACAUAGAUUGAAUUUUUGUUUCCUGAAUACAAAGUAAAUCCACCCUCUGGUUACUUAUAAAAGCCUUUAUAAUUUUUCUUUUGGAGCUAUUGUUUGGUCCCCUCAUGUUUAAGCCCAAUGAUCCAUUAGCUAGGCCAAGCCUACCAGCCCUCCUCGCCUCUUUUUGGCCCACGAUUAGGCCUAAGGAAGACGACCCAGACAAUAACUCACUGAUUGAGGUCCAGUCCUGGAUUGCCGGGCUUUGAGCUCGAUUUACCGUCACCCGGCCCGACCCGCCCUCCUGCUCACCCAUAUCUUCAUCUGACAAGUUCAGCGUCUCGAGCCUCAUGCUUACCUACUCCUCCUCCAUGCGCUGCUUCGAGCGUGAAGCAACAUCACCCCUAACCUUGUCGCUCUUUCGUCCAACCUCUUCGUUGAGUUUUUUCCUCAACAACAGUACGCACUCCUAUCACAGUGACAAAGCAUAGACAUCCUCCUCCACUUCGAUUUCCAAUACACUCGGCCUGACGUCUCCUCUCGAUUUGACCAAGAUUCUAGCCCACUGAAUCUCACCCAUCUUCUUCGUCUAGUCAUCAACUACAACAAAACCACCACAUUCUUCCCCCAGUCUUUUCAGAAUCAUCGGACUCCAUAACGAGAUUGGAAGCCCAACGAUUCUCACCAAGACUUCAUUUCCUACAUCUGCCUCUACCCAGCAGCCACUCCUAGGGUUCUAAUGCUCCAGCCCUACCUGGAGUCCUCACAUCGAACGAUUCCCUAAGGAUACGACGCGUCUUGCUUCUUCCAGAUCUUCAAAUUCCAACAAGACUAUAUCAUUUUCCAACUUAGCCAACCCUAAAUUUCCUCUUAGACCUCAAGACUUUGCCCAUAGUCUUCCCAAACUCUCGAGAUAUUCUUCUCUCUCUGUACUGGCUUUCCAACUCGCCACAACGCAAUGUUCCAAUUUCUGUAGAUUUCCUAGUGUUUUCUCCUUUUCAACCUUCACUGCGAUUGAGUUUGCAUUUCCCCAAAUUGGCAUCUUCACUACUGUCGCAUAUAAGCUUUCCACGAUAGACUUCCCCACAACCCUUGCUUCUUGGUUAUUUGAUUUUCUACCAAGAACUCCUACUAGUUGAUGAAGCUUCUCCACCAUAAUCACCCAUCCCCUUUUGUUCCCUCUGCCUCUCGGGAUGAAGAUGCAGAAACUCUUCAUUUCCAGAUCAAUAACCCCUAGCCAAAUAAACCCCCCCGCCUAUUUAUCCCUCGCGUCAUGGAAUACAAUCUCCCAUUUUCCUUUCAUUCCCUUUCCCAUCUUACUUUUUUCUCGUCUUUGAUGCAAUGGGUUAGGUCUUCUAUGAAAAACCCUAAGCUUUCCGGUCCUAGUCGGACCCAUGACGAAACCCCUCCCUUCUUCUCCAUGAUGAGAACUUGGGGUUUUCCUUUCCUUUCAUCUACAACGAUCUCGAAUGCCUUGGACUCCACUACGAAGUUGCUCCCCUUCCUUCUUCUACGAGACGCCGAGUUAUUUUCUCCCUCCUCUCCAUCGCACUCUCUCUCACUCUCUCUCUUGCUCUCUCCCAUCUUUCAUAUGAGGUGUCACAAUUAAAAUUGAAUAUAUAGACCAUGUGAGUGUUAUUAUUAUAAUUGUGGUUUUAGCUAUAUAGUCUCAAACAUCCUCCAUUUGUCCACAAAGAUCCUAACAUUUCUCUCUCACCAUACCAUCUAGAUCAAAGUGAAAUUUCUAACACUCUCCCUCAUGUGACAAUGGAGGAGAGAGACAGGGUUAGAGAGAGAAAGAGCGUGAGAGAGAGUGAGAGCGUUGGUGGAGUGCGAGACUCCCCGAGAGCAACCGAGAAUGUAGAAAGCGAGGUCCUUACGAGGCCUGAGAAAAGCGUCAAGAAGGGUGGCUUCAAAGUGGAAUCGAAAUCGUUUGAGGUUGAGGUGGAAGAGAAGAGAGGCAGACUACAAGCUACAAUCGUGGAGAGGAAAAUAGGGAUUUCAUCGUGGAUCAGGCUGGGACCGACGAGUCUUGGGCUAUUCCUCGAUUGUCUGGUUCUGUGCAUUGAGGAUGUGAGAAUGGCAAAAUGGGUAAGAAAGUGGCAGGAAUGCAAGAGGGCUUAUUCUCUGGUGCGCGAUAAUAACAAAGGGGGGUGCUUCCUCCGGUUAGAUGUUGUGGAUUUGGAGAACAAGAGAUUUAGCAUCUUCAUCCCUAAAGGAAGAUGAGCAAAUGGCGGUUGGGUUUCAAUGGUGGAGACGUUACGACGCUUGGGCUGUGCAAACAGAGGAAUGACAAACCAAAAAGAAUAAGAGCCACGCUUGAAGCCAAGCACAGCGAAGACCUUCGCGAAAGUAAUCAAAAUGUUGAGGGGUAAAGAUAGAGCAACAAUUAGGGUGGAGGUCACAAAGGAGUUGUGUCGGAACUUAAACAAAUUGGAUCACUGUGUGGUUGGGAUAUGGAACCCUAGCACAACAAAGGGGGACGACCUACGAAGUUGAGGGACUUAGUAGGCGAAAAUCUGGAGUCUGAAGGGCAACCUAUGGUUAGCAAAACUGGAGAGGGGCAAGGUAUUGAUGGAAGUUGAACUUUUGAUAGAAGCAGAGCAAGCCAUUAAACUUGGAAGCAUCUCGAUUGGGGGGAUUUUUCUUUGCUUGGAGAAAUGGAGGCCUGAAAUAGGAUGUCUGAGGAAGGGGGAGAACAAGAGUGAAGCCUGGGUGCGAGUUGUAGGCUUACCCGUCUCCUUAUGGGAGCAGGACAUUCUGAGAAUGAUAGGGGAUGAGUGCGGGGGUUUUCUUGCAAUUGACUCCCAAACGAAGAAGAUGGAGGAAUUACAGUGGGCCCGAUUACUAGUAAAACACAACGGUGAGGAACUUCCCAAUGUGGUGGAGGUUUGGGUUGAAGAGCUGUGCUACUCGGUAACUCCCUGGUGGGAGGUCAGACCAAUAAUGAGAGCGGCGACGGUAGGAAAAAGAGGGAAGUCUAUUGCAAUGGGAGAGGAGGCUGGGGGUGAAGCUUGUACACGCGUGGGCGAGCGCAUGAUGGAGGCGAAGGACGAUUCAAGGCUCGAGGCCCUGCUGCUGCAUGCCGAUGGGACGCGGGGUCAGUCAAGCGGGUCGAGGCAAGUUACGGGCCCUAUUUGGAGCUUUGAUGGGCCUCCGAGUGGGCCACAAGGAUCGGGCGGGCUUACCUUGAUGGGCCUAGCAGAGCCUUCUUGGUGCUUUAAGGAAUCAGAGCCCACUGGGCUCGUUUCCUUCUCGGACCCCCCAUGCGUUAAUGGGCCACCUAUUUCUGGUUUGUCGUCUUGGAAGAUCUCUGAGCGGCCCAAGACUCUGGUGCAUCCUGCAAGGUCUAGGCUGGACAAUUGAGGCCCGUCUAUGCCUUUAGCUAUGGUUAGGGCCUAGGGGGGAGGCCCGUCCUUCUUUGGUAAGGGGCCAAAGCCCAAUGGGGGGUCCAGACCCUGACAUUUCUCCCUUCUGGGCGAAGGAUGGCAUGCGGAGGCUUUCUGAGGAGGAGACUCAGUCUGAAGGGAAAUCUAAGACCAAUUGUGCCUUGUUGGAAGUUGCAAGGUAUGAAUACAUCUCUUUCUCUAUUGAACUGGUGGUCUCUGAUUCUCUCUCUUCCCCCUCUCCUAUUUAUGGUCAGACUCCAUUGGGGGAGUAUUACGACCUUUCUGGGGCUGGCUUGGACUUAACCCAGGGGGUUACACAUAGAUUGUGUAACGUUUCUAGGCCUACAGAGUAGGAAGCGGUUAAGUGUUGGGAGUUGAUAGAGGUCAGUACUGACAGCAUUGAAGAGAGCAGAGAGGCAUUGUGCCUUGCUCGGUCUAUGCCACAAGAAGGUAGAGGAUGGGAGGAAGGAAACUGGGAGGAAAGUGAUCUGGCUAGGUUCAACAAGUUUUUGGGAUUUUCGACAGGAGGAUUGGAAAAAGAUAUUUUGGAGUUUCUGGUCAAAAUUAGAAAAAUGAGGGAAAGAGUUCAUAGCAAAACUCUCCUGAAGAAAUUGAGAUUCGAAAGGGAGUUGAAAAGGCUUGAAUGUUCCAUCAAUUAUGAAGGGGGAAGAAGAAGUGUGAUGUGCAAGGAAGAGGGUGCUAGAUUAUGGAAGUCCAAUGAAGAUAAGACUAUUGAGCUGGAAUGUGCGUGGAGCUAACGAUAGCUCUAAAAGAAAAGUGAUUAAGGCCAUGAUCAGAAGCCAGAAGGUUGACUUGUUUUGUAUCUAGGAAACGAAAAUUUAGUCAAUGACAGAUGGUUUGGUGAGGAGUUUGGGCUCUAGGAGGUUUCUUAAUUGGGACGCCAUGGGUGCUCAGGGAGCUGCGAGAGGGAUUUUGAUAUGUUGGGAUAAAAGAACCCUGGAGGUUCUUGAGAUGGAGAUGGGACAGUUCUCAAUUUCUUGUAGGCUUAGGAAUGUAGAAUAUGGGAAUGCUUGGAUCUUCACAGGAGUGUACGGGCCGUUUUCUAAAGAAGAUAGGGAGAUUCUAUGGGAAGAGCUAGGGGCUAUAAGGGGCAUCUGGGAUGACCCCUAGUGCUUAGGGGGCGAUUUCAAUGUUAUCCUCUCCCAAAGGGAAAGGAGCAAUCAGGAAAGGCUAACUGGCGCCAUGAGAAGAUUCGCUCAGGUUGUUGACGAACUAGAGCUCCUAGAUCUUCCUAUGCAAUGGGGGGAUGUUCUCUUGGAGUGGGGGUAGGAACAAUCAAUCUUGGGCUAGAUUGGAUCGAUUCCUAGUGACCCAGAACUGGCUUGAUCACUUUAGUAGGGUUGUCCAGAGUAGGUUACCUAUACCCACUUUUGAUCACUUUCCCAUCUUGUUGAAGGGUGGUGGGUUCAGGCGGGGCCCUUUCCCGUUUAGGUUUGAAAACAUGUGACUUAAAGUUGAUGAGUUAAAGGAUCUUCUUCGGGGUUGGUGGUAGGGGUCGAGGGGGGAGAGGGAGGGUCAGUUUUAGAUUGGCUACAAAGAUGAAGGUCUUGAAGGAAAAAAUUAAAGGAUGGAACAGGGAUGUGUUUGGAAGGCUGGAAGUUAAUAAAAACUUAGCCCUUCAACAAGUUGAAUUUUGGGAUGGGGUGGAGAGUGAAAGGAGUCUGACAGAAGGUGAGAUGGAGCUGAAAAGAGAAGCUAAGGAAACCUUUAAAAAGUGGGUGUUUUUGGAAGAAACUCAUUGGAGACAAGUGUCAAGGGAGCUGUGGCUUAAGGAAGGGGAUAAGAACACAAGGUUCUUUCACCGGAUGGCCAAUGCCCAUCGAAGAAAUAACUCCUUGGAAAAAAAUUAAGAUCAAUGGGAGGUGGUUGGAGGAGGAGCAAGAGGUGAGAGAGGGGGUUGUGAAUGCUUUUUAGCAGCUGUUGUCAUAUGAGCCAGCCUAGAAAGCUGAUAUUGAGGGGCUGCAUCUUCAAAGUCUAAACCAUAAUGAAGCUGAAGGCUUGGAGCAGCCCUUCACUAAGGCAGAAAUCCAUUAUGCUCUGAUGGGAAUGAAUGGAGAUAAGGCUCCAGGCCCGGAUGGGUUCACAGUGGCCUUUUGACAACCUUGCUGGGACUUCGUGAAGGACGAGAUUGUGGACCUGUUUAAGGAGUUUUUUGAUAAGAAAUAUUUUACUAAGAGUCUCAAUUCUACCUUUCUAGUCCUCAUUCCAAAGAAAGGUGGGGCCGACGACCUUGGGGACUUCAGGCCCAUCAGCCUUCUAGGGGGAUUGUAUAAGCUUUUGGCCAAAGUGCUGGCCAAUAGGCUGAAAAAGGUUUUAGAUAAGGUGGUCUCUGUGGACCAAAAUGCUUUUGUGAGAGGAAGACAAAUUUUGGAUGCCUCGCUCAUAGCCAAUGAGGUGAUUGAUUUCUGGCAUAAACGUAAAGAGAAAGGGUUGAUUUGUAAAUUGGAUAUUGAAAAAACCUAUGAUAGCAUUAAUUGGAAUUUCCUCAUGAAGGUCUUGCAUAAGAUGGGUUUUGGAGCUCAUUGGAUGGAGUGGAUCUGGUGGUGUAUUUCAACUGCAAAUUUUUCUGUUCUGGUCAAUGGGGUGCCAGUAGGUUACUUCUCCAAUUCUAGGGGGCUGCGCCAAGGAGAUCCCCUCUCUCCUUACUUUUUUGUGUUGGGUAUGGAAGUGCUAAGUGUGCUUUUAAGAAGGGUUGUUGAUGGGGGAUUCAUUUUAGGUUGUAGUCUUCGAGGAAAGGGGGGAAUGAAGAUGAAUGUGUCUUAUUUGCUAUUUGCUGAUGAUACUAUUAUUUUCUGCGAAGCAAGGCAAGAUCACCUAACCUCUCUAAGCUAAAAGCGAAGUAAUUCCGGUUGGGGAGGUUGAAGACAUUGACGGAUUGGCAGUGAAGUUAGGGUGUAGAGUGGGGUCUCUUCCUAUUGUUUAUUUGGGGCUGCCUCUUGGAGCCAAUCACAAGGCCUCAUCUAUGUGAGAUGGGGUGGAAGAAAGAAUGAGAAGAAGGUUAGCCCUUUGGAAAAGACAAUAUUUGUCAAAGGGCGGGAGAAUUACCCUCAUUAAAAGUAAUUUGGCCAGUAUACCUAUUUACCAAUUGUCUCUCUUUCGAAUGCCCAAGCUAGUUGCAAAAAGGCUCGAAAAAUUACAAAAAGAUUUUCUUUGGGGAGGGGGAAGCUUGGAAAGAAAAAUCCAUUUAAUCAAUCGGGAGGUGGUGUGCACCUAAAAAGAGAAAGGGGGUCUAGGCAUUCGGAAGAUUGAUCUCUUGAAUAAGGCCUUGUUGGGCAAAUGGAUUUGGAGAUUUGCCUUUGAAAAAUAAAUCCUUUGGAAGAAGGUGAUCAGGGUGAAGUAUGGCUAUGAGGGUUUUGGUUGGAGAACUAAUGAGGCUCGCAGAACGUUUGGAGUGGGGGUUUGGAAGGAGAUUUUGAAGGAGAUGAAUUGGUGUUGGGAUAACAUAGAGUUCAAGGUGGGAGAGGGGACCAAGGUUAAUUUCUGGACUGAUCAGUGGUGUGGUAAUGAGGUGUUGUCCCAAACUUUUCCCCAGCUAUUUGCCUUGGCGGUCCAAAAGAACGCUUCGGUCAAUGAAAUGUGGGAUUCUAGCCUUGGUCAAGGAGGUUGGAAUAUAAGAUUCUCCAGAGAUUCUAAUGAUUGAGAGUUGGAUGCUAUAGGAGAGUUGUUUCAUAUGCUAAGGGACUUGAGGAUUUCUUCAGAAGAGGACUCAGUAAUAUGGAAAUGAGGGGGUCACGGUUAUUUUCGGAUUAGGGAUGCUUAUAAGCUGCUGGCAGUCCCUAGUGCCAUCACCUUCCCGAAAAAGAGCAUUUGGGUGGACAAGGUUCCAACCAAAGUUGUUUUUUUUGCUUAGGAGGCCACGUAGGAGAAAAUCCUAACUUUGGAUAGGCUUCAAAGACGGGGCUGGCACCUUCCAAAUUGUUGUUUUUUGUGUGGUUGUGAAGAGAAAAAUGUAAAUCAUAUUCUUUUACACUGUAUAGUGGUCAGGGUUCUCUGGGAGAUUGUCCUUACCUUGUUUGGGGCUCAUUGGUUGUUCCCAGAGACAGUCAAAGAGGUGUUACUUAGUUGGAAGGGCCCCUUUGUAGGGAAGAAGAGGAAAAAGAUUUAGAAUUCCACCCUAUUGUGUAUUUUUUGGACGGUAUGAAAGGAAAUGAAUAGAUUAGCCUUUAGGAGGGGCCCUCUAGCUAUACAGAAGUUGAAAAAUUCUUUUGUAUGUAAUUUGUGGAGUUGGGCUAGGGUGUAUAUGGGAGAGGAGUCCUCUUCACUUUUAGGUUUUUUGAAAUGGCUUGUCAUUCCUUAAGGGGUGGUGAGGUUUUUGUUCAUGUGUUUUUGUUUCCAAGAUGUUGUGUAUACUACCUGUAUGUUUUGUGGCUUUCCGCCCUUUAAUAUAUUUGCACUCAUUUAUAAAAAAAAAAAGUGGUUUUACCUUAUAAUAUUUUGAUUGAUAACACUUCUACUCUAACACUUUUAUUAAUAAUUAUUUUAAGUAUGGAUGUAAACAAAAAAAAAAAAAAAGUUAUUUUUAAGUUGCUAUUUUAUAAUAGAAUACAUAAGCAAAAAUUUAGGAAGAAGCUCUCAUGAUGCACAAAUUCAAAAAUCAUUUCAUGAUUUUUAAAAUUUCAUCAAACACUUAGGACUUGUUUAGGAACGUUUUUAAAAAUAAUUUUAUAUUCUCCAAAAUACAGAACAUAAAAAACACGUAUAACAACGAAAAACUGUUUUCUAUUAUUAAUAAUAAAAAAUAUAAUAUUUUUACAUAACAUUAUUUAAUUAUUUUGUGUUGUUUCCACUAAUUUUUUGAAAGCUAUUUUGAAAAAUAAUUAUACAAACACGUAAAGUGAUUAAAAAUAAAACACUAGACAUAACGAUCAUUUUUAACGCAUAUUUUAAAAUAUUAAAAAUAAGUUAAAAAUAUUUUAGAAUUUCAAAUAGACUUUUGUUUUACAAAAAUCAAAUAACAAUUUUUAAAAAUUGUUUUUAAAAACUAUUUUUCAAAGUUGUUUUAAAAAACAAUUACCAAGCAAACCCUUAAUUUAAAAAUAUAUAUAUAUAUUUCCAAAUAAUAUAAAAAGCAACGACAUUUAUAUUAAGUGUGCAUUCAAACAAAGCAAUUUAAGAAGCUUCAUCCACUUGAGUAGCAAUGCUCAUUUUAAAAAUCUACAAGAAAAAGACACUCACUCAUUGAAGCUUGCAAUGUUAUAAUAUCCCAUGUAAGAACUCAGUGUUUCCCUUUUUUCUUUUCUUUUUUAAAAAAAAAAAAAAAAAAUCUUCUUUUCUUUCUAAAUCAGUUGUAUGCACAAAUCUUUUCAAUUAAUGCAGCAUAUAUCAACAAAAUAAUAUUGGAAAACAAAACCCACCAAAUACUAAUCCAAAAUCACUACAUAAUCAUCCAAUAAAUUUUUAAAAAAAUUUUACCAAACACUCAACCUUUGGAAAAAAAACGCUUCCAAGUAUUAAAUUACUCUCAACCAUACUCGUAUGGCAUAAUAUUGAUUUGGGUCAAUUACCAUAAUAAUCAGAGAUUGUUCUUCAUAUUCACAUAUAUGCUAAAACGAAAGAAAGAAAGAUGCUACAAAUUUUGAAAGAGACUCACUUGAUGCUCCAAAAUGGCAAUGGGAAACAUGCAUAAUAGAAUUCAAUAUCCUCUAGAACAAAACAACCCACUCAACACUUAGGAGAAUAAUCCUUAUACCUUUAGUAUGAAUGUUUUUUCCCUAGACUCUGCACAGCCUUACGUAUAUUGAAGACUGGUCUGCGCUCAAGCCCUUUUAAGGCCUUCUAUCUAAGCAUAUCAUAAGUGUCAACCUUUUUCUGGGCAACCCAACAACCAAGGAGAAAUUUGGGCUUUGAAAUUAUCCUGACUGGGGGGCAAAGAGUGGUGGCAAUUUUUGAAGAAAAACUGCACAUAAGGGAAUUGGACUUAGCUAUCAACAAGACUAGGGCACAUUCUGACACUAAACCAUAUCACAAACGACCUCUAAUCUAUAUUCAAGGUGUUCACAACCAGAUUAAGAAGCCUGCCAAAUUUAUCUGACAAAGUUUGGUUCUUCUAUCCGUAUAUCUAAAGGAACCAUGAAUUUAACAGAUCAACAAUGACAAGAUCCAUCCCUAGCUAAGGGCCUGAGUUAAUAAUGUCUAUCAAUAAAGACAUUAAAAAAAUUUGGGAAGCAAUAAGUAAGCCAUAACCACAGUUCAUAUUUAAACCACGAACAGUAAAUUUCUCUUUGUUGGACAGCAUGGAUGUUAUAUUUUCCUUUUAUAAAUCUCUAUACAAGAAAACAAAGUUACUCACAAUUAAAAGCCACACAACUCUAAAUCAGAACCCAAUGCAGACACAGCUAGAUCUGUUGUUUGGGAUCCUAUAUGCAGAUUACCACUAUAAAUGAUCAGAAAUUUGACCAACAAACGGCAAGAAAUAGGGUUAAUUCAUGUUCCAUGUGAACACAUGUAUUCAGACUCUGAAAUGAAGUCUGAAAUUGCAAAAUUAUAUUAGAACCCCUGGUCAAAUUCAACUUUACCUGCCUUUGCCCAGGCAUCCUGUGCACAGGAAUCCAAAUCUCUCCCGGAUAAGGAUUCAGAUUCUGGACCACAAAACACAGCACUUGAGACCAUUUUAUUCUCUGGAUUUUUCCAACACAAAUUAAAACAAAAGAAUCAUGGAGAAUGAAAAAUGCAUCAUAUGCCAAAAAUAGAUACAGUUUCUCAUACAAAAUGCUUCCUGCCAUUGACAAAUAAGAAGCAUGUACCUUGGCCAAAAGAAGCAAAUAAAGAAAGGAAAUUGUUUCAUUCCAUAAUGUAGAUUUCAACUCAGUCCACAGACCAACACAUGCCUAAGCACAAAUUCUACUAGACAAAGACCAUGGGAGCACAUUUUCCUCUUAAAUUGACAAGAAUAACACAGAAUAAGCAGCAUUCGGCACUUGUCAUAUAUAAUUUUAAAAGAAAAAUGUGGGCACUUGGACGAUUUAACAAAAAGAAUGGUCCUACAAAGUAUGGAAAGACAAGACAUGGUGUGCAACUGACAGCAAAUAGUUGGCACAAAGGCUUUUUUGAGUAUGUGCAAUCCAAGACAGCCUUCAAAGUCUUCAAUUCCUUCCAUUCUCAUAAUAUCAGUUUACCAUCCACAUAAUAAGCUUCAAAUUCAAGGACACAAGAAAAAUGAAGUGGCCCAAGAGACACAUAAACCCAAAAACCACAGAAAACAGCCUGUUAGUCUUUCUUUUAUGGACAAUGGAAUUAGAUUAAAUAAUGACAGGGAGUAACCUAGGUACACAUGAAAUAUACUUGGAUGACACCUAAUCAGACAAAACAUUCAAGGACAAAAAAGAAGAGAUGAUAGAUGUCCUUAUCCAUUAAUGCUACCCAAAGCUACUAAUGAAAUCCAUGAGUGAUCAUCUCCUUCAAGUAGAACCACCCUCUCUCGAAGCCAGUAGAAAGAACAGCAAUUGGUUCUUUAAUUUGUAAACUGUGCAUUCCAUUCCCUCAAAGGUCCUUCUAUUACUUCCUUUAAAAUAUCCAAACUUGGAGGAACAGUCCUUCACACCUUUCUCAUGCUUUCUUCUUCUAACAGGUAUUCUUCAUUCCAACCAGUGAGAACCCAAUCAAUCUGAAAUACAGCAAGCACCAUGGUCUAAAGCCUCCAGGAAACUGGGCAAUGAAUAAAUGAUCAACUGAUUCCACCUUCCUAUUGCACAAGCAAGACCCAGCAGGUAUGCUGCAAGCCUGCAACCUCUGGCCCUAAAAUGGUGAUUAGAAUUAUGUGCUCCUCGAUCCUAAAAAAUCCCUCACAAUGGUCCCAAACAUAACGACCUUUGGGUGAACAUGAAAAGUAGCUAUUGAGGCCUCAUUAUAUCCAGGAAUAGAAAACAACUCUGGAAACCUCACUUUAAGCAGAAAGUUGCCAUACCACAAGUCAUACCAAAAUUCAACUUUUGUCUGUUCAAAAGAAAGUGUGCGAACAUCUUGAAGUUUCUCCAGGUGAUGACACCAAAGUUGGCAAGAUGAGAGUAGAGAAGAAGUACAUUGGUAAGCUAUAAAACAUUCUUUGAAUCAAAGUAAUUUACCUCCUUUAGAGAAGGAAUACUGCCACAUGGCUAAUCUUUGCUUGAGUCUCUCUCUACAUGGGUAUAUCACACCAACAUGGCCCUGAACGAAGCUCCCACAGAAAGGAUAAGGCAAGAAGUAGACACCUACAAACCUGCAAUUCCAAGGUUACAGCCAUAGGGUCUACAUUUGCCAUGACCCACAAGAGUAAGCUCAGUCUUAUCUUCAUUAACCUUUGGUUCAGAAAGAGUCUCAAAACAAAGUAAUCCACAUCUAUGGUAUCCCAGUUGGCCUAAGUCUGAUUCACAAAAAUGGAAGGAGUCAUUAGCCUAAAUAACAGGUGAGAAAUGGUAAGCCUUCCUCAGCCCCCACUGAAACACUUGGAAUAAAUGACAUCCCACAGCCCUCUCAACCAGUCUACUGAGAGCUUCCAUCACAAAAAGGAACAAGCAAGCAGAAAGUCGAUCCCUUGCCAUAACCACUUACAGCUAUGAAACCUCUCUGAAACAUAGAACACAGCCAUCAAAUCCCCCUUCAGAGCUUCCCAAAUAUGCUGCCAAAAGGCAAUAAUUAAAGUGUUUGGAUUGGGAGCCCAAUCUCCAUUCAACUCACUAAGGACUGCCACUAGCUCGUCCUUUAUGAAGCCUCCCUCUGACAGUGAAUCUGAAGCUUAACCCAUCAAACCUCAGUCUCCAUCCCUGCUCUCCUUAAAGAGCCUCGAAAAAUGCUGAGGGAUCUCUAAAUCAAUCUCCUCCUCAUUGAAAAUGAUAAUCUCAAAUACAAUUAAAUCUUCUAUGCCCUUAGCUAGCCCAUGAAGGAAUCUGGUAUUUUCAAUCUUUGUCUUUAAACCAAAGGGCUCUAGACUUCUAAUGCCAACUAAUCUCUUCCAACUCUGACUUCCUAGGUUCAUCUUUUUCCAGCCACUUGCAUCCCAGAUCAACCUCUGGAAGACUCACAAUCAUUUAAUCCCAUUGCCUGGUAUUCUCAAGCACUCAAGAUUUGUGAACAGAAACUUUUCUGGAGUCUACCUUAUUCCACUUGUUCAGAAUCUUCUUCAAAGACUUUUUAACUUUCAAGCAAUCCAGAAACUAGGAUCACUGCGCCUCAUGGCUCUCCAAUACUAGUUCACUCUUUCUUCAAAUCCCUAUGCUUUUCUUUGGAUAGGUAAAGCAGGAGAGUAUUAUAAAAUAGAAAAGCCGUCAAGGCACUCCAAAGAAACAUAGGCAGUAUACAAUGAUCACCUAGAGGCACAACCAAAAGAAUAGAGGGGUUACAAAAAACCAUCCCCACCCUCAAUAAGAAUCCAACCAAUCGACAAAGUUAAUCAAAGACAAAGGACCAUCAUUCAUAAACAUCUUAGUCCAUGACCAAAAAUUACAAAGAAUGCUUUCAGCCUUUGGUUAGAUUGCUGCUUGAAUUCAAACAAUCUUUAGUUCCUCUUCCACACUGUGCAAAACAAAAUGCAUAUGGGAGCUGCUUGACGUGUCCUUUUUUUUCUUUUUUUAACCCAUGAAAGGGUCAUGUCAUCCUAAGAGGAUCUCUUUAACUAAUUGAGAAUAGCACCCCUGACACAUCGAAAAGGGAAAACGGCAUCUGCCAUAAAACCCUCAUCUUGACAUAGUGAAUAAGGAUAUGAUUAAUGGAUUUUUCCUUGUUAUAACAAAGGAAACAUCCAUCUGUCAAAAACUGUCUCCUCUUUUUUUUAAACAAAAACAUAUAUUAAGAAAUGCCAAAAACAGAGGGUGCACCUUAUGCAUACAAGAAGUAUGCACAAAACAUCCCAAAACAAGCACCAAACAUAAACAAAGUUAGCCUACAAAAACAAGGCAAGCUAACCACAAGGAAGAGCAUCUAAGAAAUCCAAAACAGAGGGUUUCUCCAUUUCCAAUGAAGCAUGAGACCACUCAAAUAGUGAUUUAAUAAAGAAAUCUUUCGAUUGUGCUCUUUCUAAAUACAUGAAAAUAAGCAAAUCAAAGCCAUAUGCCAAACUACUUUGCUCUUCUUAUCUAGCAUCUCAAAUUUCCAUUCAAGAGGGAGAUUUCUAAUUGAAACUAGAACACCCAUUUCAAGCCAAAGGCUGCUAACAAAGAAGUCCAUAGCACCUAAUUCAACUCCCUCCUUUGUAAUUGAUCCAAUAUCUUCCCUCACAUGGCCUCCCAAGCAACAAAACCCACUUUUGGCGGCACCCAUGAAUUCCAUAUAAUGCCCACCAAGAAAGAUAACGAACUCCCCAAAACUUGUCACUCUUUGACUGUGUCCAAAUUACUCUAUCUUCCUCUUCCCUAUGUGCUCUCUUUCCUUGCAGAACCGCUCCACAUUUUCCAUCCUCUACUUUCACCUACAUCUUUUCAAUUUAAAUGGAAUCUUUUGCCUCAUCUUAAACCAUCACUACCAAGGAGGGGAAAUACGUGAUCUGAAACUGGCCUAGGCAAUAUACACUGACUAACAUACAGAAGUGAUCCUUCUCAUUAGAUUAAAAUAAAUAAAAAAUAAUUACACUGAUCAAUUUGGAACAUUCAAAGUAGAUCUAGAUUGGUUGACCCUGUAGAGCUCCCUCAAACUGAUGGCAAAUCCAGCAAACCAAAGAAACAAAUGAAACCUGAAAAUAUUCUCUUAGAUGGAGAAAUGCAAGAACAAUUUCUCUUCUCAUGUGCUGUUGUCCUCCCUUCCCUGAAGCCAAGGGUCUCCCAAACGCCUCUAAUGGCUUCCAGUUUGUCUCAGAACCGCCAUCCCUUCCCUACCAAGGUCCACAAAACCCAAAUAAAACUAGUCUCUACAUUUUUAAAUGUGCAAGACAUCAAAUAAGCCACAGUGUCCCCUUCCAAAUUCUACAGACCUCUUCUAUCCAACAAAACUAGGAUCCCACCAACACCCCAAAAGCUGCCAAAGAGGCCCAACUCAAAAAUCCAAACAGAGAUUGAGCUCUCAAAACAGAGGAAGGAAAACCCCUGCAAGCAGAAGAAUAGGAGCAUUUCCUAUGUAACAAAAUCUAAGGCAGUGAGCUCAUGUUUCUUGCAUCACAUACUCUAAUGUCCAGUACCCAUAAGCAGAUCUCACAAUCACAAAAUCCAUCACCUCAUAUUCAAUUUCAUAAAAAAUAAAAAUAAAAAUAAAAAUCUCAUUCUAGAAAUUCUUUCAUAAGAUUAAAAAUCCAAAAACUAAAAUAAAACUAAAAAUGUGUCAACUAAAUUCCACCCACAUUUCAUUUGUUAACUCUGUCUUACUUUCCAGAGGUUCCCACCAACCAUUCGGUGUUCUACUAAAUUUAUAUAUAGAAAAAGGUCACAUUCCAGACAAAAGUCAAAGCCCAUAAUUCCCUAAAUUCAUUCAUAACAACAAAAGAAUCAUCAAUGAAAUAGGCAGCGAUCUUAAUGCCAAUGAAGAACAUAAUGAAUGACUACAUGUUUUAAUGCAUGUCUAUCAGUGAUCAAUAUCAAAAUUCUCAUUAAAAACCACUUACCCACUGUUUGGUGUUCUGAGAAGAUUCACCCACAUUUCAAUUGUUAAUUCAUUUUACUUUCCAUCAGUUAAUUAGCAACCAUAUGGCGUUUUCCUAUUUAUAUAUACUCAUACGAAGAUCCAAAUCACAAAAUCCACAACCUCACUGUAACUGCUACUAAAUCGGAAAACAUCCAAUAACAUACAAAAAAAAAAACUCCUGAUUUCACAAAUCUAAUCAUAAGAUUAAACCCACAAUCACCAACCAAAUCAAUGAAGAUAAGCUGGGAUCUUAAUACGAAUGAAGAGCAUACUCAUAACAUACGCAAUCACCACCGACGCCACGCCGGCCGAGGCGAACGACACCUUCACGCUCUUCGCCCUGUUUCGAUCCAGAGCGAGGUCCAUCAGGACGAUGCCAAUGCCACCGAGGACGAACAUGAAGCCGGAGGAGAGGCCCUCGAUGAUGUACUGGCCGUUGACACGGCCGGGAAGGAAGACGACGGGACGGACGGCACCGGUGUGGCGGUCCUGGGAUGAGCCGAUGCCGGGAGGCUCGACGAUGACGUCAUAGACGAUUCCGGAGACCACCAUGAAGUAAGUGAGGAGGAGGAGGGCGUAGACGGUCAUGGGGGAGGGGAGGGAGAGCGACGGCAGCUUCAGGCGGAGCCGCGGCGGGUGGAGGAAGCUGAAUGGGAGGACCUUGAGGAUGUGGAAGAUUGGAUCCAUGGAUGUAGCAACGGUGGUGGAGUCGGCUGCUAGGGUUUCUGAUUUGGGAGCCAUUGGCGCUCUGUGUUAGAAAAUGGAUCUCUCUCUCCUCCGUGGUCUUGUACACUAGAUGACAUUAAAAAUAAAAAAAUAAAAAAAUAAACAAAAUUUUUUAAAAAAAAUUAAAAAAAAAAAAGACGAAAAUUACAAUAAAAUAUAAUUUUCCAGGUUAAUUAAUUAAAACUUAAAUUUAAAUCAAAUUAAGAUUAAUUUACAAAGUACACCAAAUACAAGUCAAAUUUAAGUCUUCAACCUAAUUGAUUUUUAAAAGUUAUUUAAAAUUCAUCCAGAUUUUAAGUCUGGAAUAUAUUUAAAAUAUUUAGUCCAAAAUAGGAUCAACAUAUUUAAAUAAAUCAUUAAAUAAUUAUAAAUCAUAAAAAUAUAAGUUUUAAAUAUCGAUUUAGUUCAAUUGUGUUGGUUAAUGAAAUUUUCAAAUAGACUAACCUAAUCGGUUUCAAUAAUGUUAAAAUUGUCCAAGCUUUAUAAUUGUUGAAAAUCAAAUUAAACAAGUCAGUUUUCAUGGUUCCCAAAUUGAAUCGACCUUUAUGAUAGUUGAAAAUCGAAUUGCUUUUAUGUUUUUGGUUAACUUCUAUCGAUUUUUACUAAUUUUUUAGUUUUCACUUACACUCAUAAAAAUCCUUAAUAUUAACAUAGAAAUAAUAUUUAAUAAACAUAUUAGGAGCGGGCCUCACUAGUAGGACUUAAAGGGCAAGUUUUAACAUUAUGAUGAAAUUUGGAGUGAAACUCAACCCCGAUAACUACAUUUUUAGGAUCAAGAGUUGAAAUUUUUUUGUUACAUAGUAAGCUAAAGAGGGAUUAAUGUAAAUCUAGAGCAAAUACAAAUAAUAUUAGGAAUGUCCUUUCCCAUGAAAGUCAAGGGCCUUUAAUGCUUAAUUGAUCGAAUAACAACCUUUAGCAAAUUUAUCUCAAAGUGCUCAUAUAGUUGUUCUCCAUUCUACAAAGUUGCUUAGUAAGAAGUAUAGUAUGGAAUGGACGUUUAGAUGUGACGAAGCCUCUUAACAACUAAAGACAUCGUCAUAACAUUGUUAAUUUUGUCAUUUUCUAUGGUUAGGGAGAAGCUCUCUUUAUACUUGGUGGCAUCUAGCACAACCAUUGUUCUUACUAAGGAAGAUAACUAGUUACAUUUGCCAAUUUAUCAUAUGAGCAAGGUUCUGAGUGAUGUAGAGACAAUGUACUCACCCUUGGAGAAAAUAAACAUUUGCCCAUGUAGGAAAACUACGUCCUUAUUUCCAAACUUAUACAAUGACAAUCUUAAUGGAGCAUCCAUUGAGAAUAGUACUAUAGAAUCUUGACAUGUUAAGCAAACGAAUAAGGUGGUUAAGUGAGCUUGGAGAAUUCAAGGUUCUCUAUAAGCAUAAAUGUGCAAUAAAGAGUUAGGUGUUGAUUGAUUUUGCAAUAGAGAUAGGUGAAGACUAAAAUGGGUGGACUCUAAAUCGGUGAGUGAUUUUGGAACCUCCCGAAUGAUGGAUCCACUUUGCAUAAAAGAUUAGGCAUGGUGAUUGUUUUAAUGAGUCCCAAUAAGAUAAUUCUAGAAUGAACAUUGAAAAUAAAGUUUGAUGAAGUAAAGUAUAAAUCAUUUAUCAUGGAAUAACAAAUGACACUCAAGCUGCAAGUAAAAAACAUUAAGGUUUAGAGUGACUUUAAGCUUGUCAUUGAGCAGGUGUUAAACUAAUUUUAAGUUAAAGAUUCUAGGAUAUUGAAUACCAAUGGAAACCAAAGGAAGUCAUGUAGAAAUUUUUCAAGAUAGAAAUACAACAAUGCCCUUAGAAGAUAACCAAGAUUGAUGUACACAUCAUCUUCCACUACCUUACAUCAGCUGAUCGAGUUAUAAGUUUGAUAAUGAAACAAUAUUGGUAGAAGCAUAUGUGACAAAUGACUUGAAUGAGAAGAGUAUACCUAUAAUCUAUAUUUUAAAAGAUGGUACUCUCCCCCUAACAAAUUAGAGGCACAUAAACUAAAGAUAAAGUAUAUCUGAUAUGCUUUAAUAUAAAAUAUAUUGUAUCACCAUUCCUUUUUGGGCUCGUAUCUCCAAUGUUUGAGAGAGAAGCAUAUGUUAUGUUAAGAUAAAUUCAAGUGUUUACAAGACCCACGUUGGCGACACAUGGCCAAUACCCCCUCCCCCCUCUCUCUCACUCUCUUUCUUUUCCUCUCUCACAUCCUAAUUUAUUUUUCAUUUUUUUGAUAAAUUUAAUUUAAUUUUUUUAUUAUUUAUUUAUUUAAUUUUUUUAUUUUCUGUAAUUUUUUAAAAUUUGUGUUGGAUGUUCUAUUAAAUAAUUUGUUUUUUUAAAUGAUGGUUUCUCAUCAAUUUUGAGAUGUUUAAACAUUUUGGAUUUAAUAUUUAAUUAAAUAACAGUUAAUCUACAAUGACACUUAAUUACCAUAUUAUAGAUAAUUUUUCAACAAAAAUUUCAUCACUCUUAAUUGAUUUAUAUUAGUUAUUUAAAGGAAUCAUUUAAUUGAUUAAGAAAAUUCAAGAUUUUUUCCUAUAAAAUUUACGAAAAUUCUUGAAAAUUUUCCAAUGAAAAUUCUUGUUGUUUUUCUAAUUCCUUCAAAAGUUUUAAAUGUUUUUAUAAAAUUUUGAACUUUUUUAUUUAUUUAUGUUUUCAUGUCUUAAUUGAAUGAUUUGAUAUAAUGUAUAUUUUUCUUUCAUUUAAUAUCAAAGACAUCGAAUUAUUUAAUUUAGUGUAUGUUCGGAUGUAGUUCUUAUUUUCUAUUUUUUAAAACAAAAAAUAGCAAUAACUUCUAAUAUAAGAACUUUUGGAGGUUCAUAUUGAGAAUUUAAUAGUUUUUAAAAAUUAAUUAAAAAAUGUUGAAGUAUUAAAAAAAAUUUUACUAUCUCAUAUUUAAAAAAAUUUUGAAAUAAUUUUCAAGGAUACAAUUGUUCCUAAUUAACCCCUCACCCUACUUGACAAUUUUUGGCUUUGCCAGUACUAAAAGGCGAUGUCUAGCUAUCUGUAAUUUCAUAUUGGAUAGGAAAGAAAGUUCUUAAGGUUAUAUAAGUAUGAGUUCCUCUUAAUCAUAUGAGUAUAUUUUAAAGUCAUGAGGGCCCCUUUUGGGCCUAGAGCAGAUAAUAUCUACAUGGUUGGAUGUGAGUCAAUACAAAUGGUAUCAGAAUUGAUUCAUAGCCCUGGUGUGAGAGUUUGUUUGACCUAACAAUCCUAUGAGACACAAAAAGGACGUUGUGUUUGUAUGAAGAGUGAAUGAGGUUGAUUGUGAUAUUUCACAUUGAAUGAAGGAGAAAAUUCUUGGGGUUAUAUAAGUAUAAGCUCUCUUAACCACAUAGAUCCGUUUUGAAGUUGUGAUGAUGCAUUUGGCCUCAGAGCAAAUAAUACCUAUACAAUUGGAUGCAAUUCAUUACACUGGCACAUAAAGCAAUUAUUAAAAGGUUACUUUUGGAUGCAUAUGCAGCGUGAGACACACUAGUUUGUUAAAGAGUUGUGUCUCCUAUUAAAGAUAUACACUACUAAUACAUCAAUGGUCAAAUAACUAGCCCUUGGCCUUUUGCCCGAUGGGUGAUCAACAGAAUAUGGCCAUUGCCUCAAGCCCUAGGUCAAAAAUACUUUUAUUUGGUUUAUCUAUGAAAAAGUUGAGAAAAAAAAAAAUUAAAGUAGGAAUAUAUCUUAUCUGAACUUUUCUACCUUUCUUUAUGAAAAGAAGGAAGAAAACCUUUUAAUAUCAUUCACCAUCUUUUCAUUAACAUUUUGGUUUUUAUCUUUUUCUAUAGUAUCCAAUAUAUAUGAGAAAAUGAUUUUUGUUAACAUCUUUUUUAGAAGACCAAACAUAGUCUUAUGUUCCAAACUCCUAUGGAUCAUCUUAUUUUUCUUAACAUUUUUUUAAAUUUUUUUAUAUUAUCUAAAUAUAAGAAAAUGAGUUUUUCUUAAUAUAUUUUUUAGGUCAUGUUUAAUUUCUGAACAAAAAGUAUAAGAGAGAAAAAGUAAAAGAAAAAAAAAAUUUUAAAUCAAUAGAUUAUUUUUGUAUUCUACUUUAAAUAUUUAAAAAAAUUAUUAUCUUUCAUUUCUUUUUUAUUUUCCUGAAACCAAACACAAGAUUCAAAGACGAAACAUAGCACUACAUUCGAAAUUCUUAAGCAAAAUCCAAUAGUCUUCUCUCGGCAUUCAUUCAUCAGCAACUUUCACCACCUUUUUCCCAACGUUAUCUCCACGAAAGAGUCCUACGAAAGCAGAUGGAAUACUCUCCACACCCUGGGAGAUAUCUUCAAGUACAUGAAUUUUGUCAGUGCUGAGGUGAUUCGACAUUGUUGAAAUGAAAUCAUCCAUCCCCUUCAAGUAAUCAAUCACCAAGAACCCUUGGACCUUGAGUCUCUUGUACACAAUAUCAAUCAUAUCUGGUGCAACUCGCUCUCCAAUCCCUGUAUAUUCUGAGAUUAUUCCACAAACAGCAAUUCUACCAAAGGGAUUCAUGUUAGCCACCGAUGCUUCCAACAUCUUGCCUCCCACGUUAUCAAAAUAUAUAUCAAUCCCAUCAGGGAAGUACCUAUAGGAACAAAUUAACCAAUGAAUCACCUUCCAAAUGACCAUUCCUAUGAUGAAGUUUUUGAACACAUGGUUUCAUUUAUAAGGUUUUAACCAUUUCAUUUGAAAAUCAAUGAUAUCAUACACCAUAAGUCUAUCCUAAAAGAUGACAUUUAGUAACCAGUCGUCUAGUUUAAGAGAGGCCUAAUAUGACACUUUAGUUACUUGAACUCAUGACUUUUACUCUAGUACCAAUUUUUGGAUUGGGUUUUAACUAUCUCAUCUGAAAACCAAUUAAUAUUCAAUAAGAGUAGGUCAAACAUUUUAUGAAAUUUGAUAUCUUAUUUGAAAAUCAAUUAGUAUUCAAACAUUUUAUGACAUUCAAUAUUAGACUUUGCAAACCUGUUUUAAAAAAUAAUAUUUGGCGACCUAUCCCAAAACUUAAGAGCGACCCAAGAUGAAACUCCAAUGACUUGAACCCAUGAUCCUAACUCUAUUAUCGAAUUUUUGAUCAAACUUUCACCAUCUCAUCUAAAAACCGUAUCCAAUGAGGGUAAAUCAAACAUUUUAUGAAAUUCGAUAUCACACCUUCUAAACUUGUUCUAAUAACUAUCAUUUGGAUUACCUGUCCUCGAAUUUAAGAGCAUCAUUAUUACACCUUGAUAAUGUUACUGUAACUACCUUUUGAGAGUAGACUUCAGAUCGGCUUCCUCCUUGUAGUUGAAUGCAUCAUCAAAACCGAGCUUCCCUUUUAGCAACUCAACCUAUAAUUCAAUUUUUUGACAGAAUUGUAUAAGAAUAUGGUUUGAUAUAUAGUGAAGGAGAAGUGGAAGAAGCUAGCCUUUUGUUUUGUUCCAGCACAGCCCACAACAUGGCAGCCGAAGAGCUUGGCAUAUUGUCCCACCAAAUUUCCAACUGAUCCACAAGCAGCUGAUACAAAUACUUUCUCCCCCUUCUUAGGUUUACAUACUUCGAAGAAACCGCCAUACGCUGUUAGCCCACUAAGCCCUGCAAUCAACACUAGUUUUCAAUUCCACUUGAAAAUACGAAGGAUAAGAAUAAUAAUUGGGGUUGUAAGUUGUCUAAAUCAUAUCGGAUUUGUGACUAACUCAAGUUUAAUUUGAAUUGAACCCGAUCUCUAAUGAAAGGUACUUAAUCAAGUUAACUUCACGUCAAAUUUGAACUAAACUCAAUUGACUGCUUGAGUUAAGACUCAAAUUUAUUGUAUUAAUCAAAUUAGUCUAUAAUUUUUUUUAAAUUAUUGAAUUUUCAUAGUCGUCUUCGAAUUUGGCUGAAUUGAAACUCUUAAUAAUGAUUUUUUUUAACAAGAAAAUGAGAUAGUGUUUUAUAUAUAUAAUUAAAUUAAUUUAAUAUUUUUUAAAAUUAACUAAAAAGGCACAUAUAAAAUGAAUAUUGCUAUAUAUUAUAAUAAGUAUUUUUAAAAAGUAUUAAAUUAGACUCAGGCUAAGUUGAAAUUACCUAAAUUCUUGACCCAAUUGAACCCGAAUAUUUAAAAUGAUGGUCCAAACUAUAAGAAAUUGGAUUUGCAAUAAGCUUUCUUUUCAUUAUUCUAUAUCUUUCUGCACUAUUACAACCUAUUUAUAUAUUUUUUGAAGAGAAGAUAAUUAAGUAACAAUUUACAAGUAUGUUAGUUAAGCUAUAACAAAAUAACAAACUGGACUAUUAUCUAAUACAGAUGAGGAGUAUUCUGGUGCAGUUUGGUAAUUAGUUUUGAGACUGCUACGAGGUUCAUCACAAACCAUUCAAACUCUUUGCCUAAGAAUGAUGUGAUGAGAGAUUUUGCAAGAAUAGAGGAGCAAACAUACCGAGAACUCCAAGGUGGUAAGAGAGAGGAAAUCCCAUGGGAUCCAACUUCCUGAAGGUGUUACCUCCUUUGACGAUGGUAUACUCUUCCCAAUUGAUAAGCCCCACAACUAAAUCAUCCUUCUCAAACUCAGGGUUUCCAGAAGCCAUAACUCUCCCAAUACCAUUAGCACUAAUGGCCUGCACAUUUUUAUUAGUUGCCUCUUAGACUAUGCUAGCCAAUUGAAGAACAUCAAACAGGAACUGCACAAUGUUGGAAUGUUUGGAGACUUCAAGCAUCAAAUUAUGUAAAGGUCUACCCGUUUUUUCAAGGUGAGAGCGUGUUUCGAUUUAGUUCCUAAAACUUUUUUAAGCAUAGAUAUAUUUUGGUAGAAAAAAAAAAAAAAACUAAGGAUAUGUUUAAGACUAUUUUUUAGAACAAUUUUCUAUUAUUUAAAACAAAAAAACAACAAAAAACAAGAAAAACAUGUUAAACGACCAAAAAUUGCUUUCUAUUUUUUUUCUUAAGAAUAUAUAAUAUGGUGUUAAUUAAUAGAGAAUAUUUUUUAACUGUUUUUAUUUCAUUUCACUUAUUCCGUGAGAGUUAUUUUAAAAAAUAAUUAUACAAAAAAUAAAAUGAUUAAAAAUAAAAUAUAAUAUAUAAAUUUUAUUUUUAAAAUAUUAAAAACAUUUCAGGUUUCAAACAAAUUUUUAUUUUAUAAAAUAUCAUAAAACAGUUUUUUAAAACACAAAACAAACCCUAAUGUUACAAGCAUAUACAUGUUUAGAAGUUUUCCAUUUUUUACUAAAAUUCUUAUUCUAAUGACUUAUUUGAUACUUAAGCAUAAUUGAGGAUUAAUAUUGUUUGAAAUAUUAUUUGAAAGUAAAUUGAGCCGCAAGUCAAAGUUCAUCAAAAAUUCAUUUUUGUAGUUUAUUUUUAAAAAAAAUUAAGAUGAUUUUACCUAUAAAGUGAUAUCCAAACUCUUCUACAUCAUAGAAAAAUAAAAGUUUGUCUUCUUUGCCUUUAUACUAAAAUAGUAUGAAAUGUUCAAAGAAUAAAAUCAUAGACUAUUUUAGUCUAACCUUGAUCUGAAAUAAUUAGUCAACCAUGUGAAACCAAAUCCCAAAGAAAAAUCUAAAAAAGAUUUACACCCUGACGAGCUCACCUGGCCAGGAGUUAUGCCAUCUGCAGUACUAACAAGUUUCUGCGAAGAGCAAACUCUCUUCAUUCGAUUGAUCUGGUACGGAUCGAUGGAAACAUAGAGAUUUUUCACUAUCACAUCUUUCGAACCCGGCUCCACAGAUAGAUGUAAAGCCGCAGUCUUGAGCUCAAAGUCGGAUUCCUGAGGUGAUGAUCCAUCAAUGUGGGUCUUAACUGUUACAUAUUUGUUGGUGACCUCCAUUGUUGUCUAGCCUUUCAGAUUUGUUAGACAGAAGCUCGCUCAUUCGAUGAGAGAAGCGUAGGGCAGAAUGAUUGAGACUGAUGAAGUGUCCUUGUAUGUUUGGAUAUUUUGAAUGUAAGACCAUUUUAGAUCUCUGUGUGGUCCAUAUAUUUUCUGUGGUCAUCAUGUCCUUAGUAAGGCGGGCCAAAAUGGGUAGUCUGAAUAAGUAUUAUUUUCAUUAAAAAAUGAAGAAACAUUUAUAUAAUGAAAAUUAUGAAAAAGUAUUAUUUUUUUUAAAUUAUUUGAAAAAGAAAAAAUACAAUUCUUAAUCUCUAACAACGUCUUGUAAGCAUAUAUUUCAUGUAUAUUACCAAAAAGUCAUCAUUGUCAUUGAACAAGUUUUACUUAUAAUUUGAGAAGUUUUCUAUGCCCUAUCAAUAAAAUUCGACCCUAACACAAUUUUUAUAAAUUUAAAUUAAGUACUGACUUAUAUGAUCUGUUUAAUAAACACGUUAGUUUUCAAUCUACUUACAUUUCCUUAAUUAACUAGUUUAAAUAAUUGUAUUGGUUAACCUAAAUCUAACUUAUAACAUAUUUAACCUACAUUUGAUCUAUUUUAAAUUUAAUUUUAAAUAAAUAAGUUAAUUGAGUCAUGAACAUAUUACAUCGAGAGGUAAUUCAUAUUGAUUCAAACGAGAGCAAACUUGACUUGAUUAUUAAAUAAAUAUAUGAAUAUAUAUUUUCAAUAAUUAGGUCAUAUUUUAAUACUUCUUUUAACUAAAUUAUAAAUCUUAUUGUAUUUAAAUGAAGUUAUUUAAUUGAGUACGUGAAUUUUCACCUCUAUCUUAAAAGUCUUGUUACUUGAUAAGACCUUUUUUACCAUCCAUAAUCCGAUAAGAUCAUUAUACUUCAUGAUUGGAAUAGGGUAAAUUAACAUUUGUCUAUUCUUAUCCAAUCCCUAAUUGGUAGGUGUUGAUGAAUGACCUAAUAUAAUUAAGAGUUCAUUUGACAGUAAUUUAAGUAAAACGUUUUUAGCUUAAAAAGUGUUUUUGAAAAAAAAUUAGAUAUUUGACAAAUUUUAAGAAAUACUUUCAAAAAUCUGAAAAAUCAUUUAUAGUAUUGAAAAAUUAUUUGUAAUAUUUUCUAGAGAAACAUUUCAUAAAUGAUUUUUCUAAAAACGUUUUUAAAGAAAACACUUUGAAUAAAAACACUAUCAAAUACUUUGAAUGAAAACCUCAAUCCAAUUGAUGAAAGUUUCUCUCAACUUUCUAAAAGUUGGAUCAAUCUUGAAAUAGAGCAUUAAAAAUACUUAGCUAAAAACAAGUUGCCCAAGACUUCCAAAAAUUCUUUAAAAACUUUAUCAAGAUAAUCCUUAUUUUGAAAAUUUCAUAUUGAUUAAAUUUCAUCUCUUUGGCCAUCACCUCAACUACAUACCUUAGUCUCUUAAACAUUUUCAACACAUCGUACUUCAUUAUACGAGUAAUCCAAAAGAGGAUUCGAAAGACCCGAGCUAAAUGUACAUUUGGGAAUUUUUGACCUUGAAUUACCAACAUAUGUGAAACACUCACAACAACAAUCAAAUUUUAGUUUAAGAUUUGAAAAUCAAUUUUUAAAAAUUUCAAUCACAACAAAUAAAAUAAAAUAAAAUAAAAUAAAUAAACCAACUACACCAUAUAGUCCUAAUGCUACUACUCAAAAUUCUUAUUGAAGAGGAAUCGAUAUCCUUAAUAUUCAUCCAUCUGCAAUUUUCACCAUUUUCUUUCAUAGAUAGGUAGAGUCCGAUCCGGGUCACCAUCUAAGCCAGGAUAGUUAUCAAACCAUCAUUGAAUUGACAAACCAGUAGUUGAACCGUUGACUUGAUGAACUAGUUUGCUGGUUCUACCUUGAAUCCCCUUCAAUUUUUGUCAAAACGGGCCCAGCUUAAUGGGCCUCAGUCUUAGAAGCCCAACUAUCUGUUGGACCUCAUGCUUCUUGCAAUGUUUGCAAUUCCACUGGGCUACUUUUUAACUUGUAUUUAGUAUUGCAAACCAAAAAAUAAUACAACAUAAUUCUUUUCAAAAUAUUUAUAAUAAUGAAAGUGUAAAUAAUAUAAUUUUUUUAAAUAAUAAAAUAAUAGCCAUAUAAAUUUUAAUAUGUAGGUAAAAUUAAUUAAAUUUUAAUAAAUAUCUUCACAUAUAUUAUAUAUCUUUUAUUUAAUAAAAUGUUAAAAUAUUAAUAUAUGUAUAUAUUUAUUUGAUAAUAUUAAAAAAUGAAAAACUAAAUAUUAUUUAUUUUUAUUUUCUUUAUAUUAUAUACUUAAAUUUUUUAUAAGUAAUUUUAAUUUUAAUAAUACAUAAAUUAUAUAUUUAUAACCUUACUAGUUGGACCGUGGUUGAUUGUUAUGACAAUUGAACUAUGAAAUGACAACUUUUUGGAUUUAAUAAUGACUAGUUGGUUUUGAAAAUAUUGGUCAUUCUAUAUAAAGGAUAAAACAUGACCAAUAAAUUUUUUAAAAAAAAAUUGAUUGAUUUUUCUUACUUUCCUAAUCUUCACUCUAUUUCUUUUUCUGUUGCUUUCUUGCAUAUAUUUGGAAAAAACUUGCAUAAUUUUACCUACACUAGUCACUAUACUUGGAACAUAAACAAUCCUAGAUCAUGAAUCAUAUGUUAAUUAAUGUUGCUCUUGUUUUUUUGCUAACUAACAAAUCAAAUAAUACAAUUAAUCCAAAAAAAUUUCUUAUGACUAUGUUUGGUUCCAUAAAUUUUGAGAAAAAAUAUAAGAAAGAAAAACAUACAAGAAAAAUGAAAAAUACUUGUUUCAAGUUAAAAUCAAACCUUUUCUAAUCUACACAUUCCACCUAAAUGGACCGUUUUUUUCGCCACUUAUGGUGGAAUCUUAUGUACAAGCUUGAGCUAGUUUGGUUUAAGAAUUGAUUGUUAAUUGCAUAAUCAAAAAACAGAAUAAAAGGAGUAGAAGUGAAGGAAAAUUCUCAAUUUGGUAUGGUUUUCACAAAGCCAAAAUUUAAUGGUAGUUGGGGAGUAAGCAUUAGGUACCAUGCAAUUAAUCAAGAUUCUAUGAAGCACACUAUUUGAGGAAUUAGAGUGGUGACAUAAUGUUUUUCUUGUAGAGCAUACAUCACCAAUUUGGAUAAGCAUACAAAAUUGAAAAUGAGCUGCAAAUUGGAAAGUUAUUUGGGUAAAUUUCAAAUUGGUUGAGAUUAAAAAUUACAUCCAUGAAUCAUCCCAUUCAAAUACUUAAAUGGUAUCCCAUACCAUAGUGAUGACCAACCAUACCAUUUUUGAAGAAUUUUGUUGAGUGAAUUAUUUUUUAAUAUUUUCAUUAUUUAGAAAAAAUAAAAACCAAACACUUUUUAUGUACAUCUUGUCCUUCAAUGAUGAAAUUACAUAAGUGAGAAUAGCCAUUGAUGAAAUGAUUUAUUGACUCACAAUUUGUGGAGUCAUCAUUUUAUGGACUGAAUCCUUUUGGUUUGCAAACCAGUGGUUUAUUUUUUGAAAAUUCUUUUUUAUUGAUUAUUUUAUUUAAAAUUAUUUCUUAUUUUAUUUAUUCAUUUAUUCUAAAAAAAUAGAAAAAUAAAGUUCAUAAAAUAAUAAUGGAUUCCAAGAUGGGAUUUACUUAGUGGGAAGGUGUUAGAGACAUCAAUAAAUCCGAAAAUAUUUGAAAAUGAUAGAGUUGUAUUUGACUUUUGGAAAAUUAGAACAUUUUUAGUCUUUUUAACAUUUGAAUCAUAAAAAUUUUUAAAUGUUAAAAAAUUUAAAAAUACUUCUUAAAAUUACUGUUAAAUGAGUUUUUAGUAUAUAUGAUGUUUCCUAAAGACUCAAUACUAAAACAAAAAUAAAAUAAAUAGAAUGCCUAUGUGGAAGUAAUAGCCCAAUAAAAAAUGUUUGUUUCUAAUUUCCUCCUAACCAUCCAUGUAGCUCUAAUUUAUUUUUAUAGAAAGAACAACGCUUUUAUUCCCACUAUGAGAUGUGAACACAUUUCAAGCUUAUAGAAAAAGUAAAAAUAGUGGGAAAAAAAAAAGGAAUAAAUAUGGCUUUCUAUUUGAAAGUGAAAAAUGUUGAACGCAUCACAAUGUGAUUUUUUUUGUUUCCUUAUUUUUAGGAUUUAUUUUUUAGACAAUAAUAAUAAUAUAAAUGGGUUUUGGUAGCUGAGCAACCUUCCAUGAUUAAGCCUUUAUUCCUCUCCGUGAUGACCCAAACCUCGGGGUGCUCAGUGUCCUGCAAUAACCAAAGUUAUAAAAAUAGUUAAUACUUCAUUCAGAUAUACUUUUUGUUUUUUGUUUUUAAAAUAGAAAAUUUUAUAUAAGAAGUAAAAAACUUUUAUGCAAAAAAGUUUUGACUUACCUUAUCUAUUCUUGAAAAUUACUUUCAAAAUUUUAAAAUUUGAGAUAGUAAAAUUUUUUAAUACCUCAAUAUUUUUUAUUCAGCUUUUAAAAACUACUAAAUUUUCACUAUAAACCUCCAAAAGUUUUUAUAUUAAAAGUUACUACUAUUUUUUGUUUAAAAAAAAUAGAAAAUAGGAACUACAUCCAAAUAGACACUAAAUUAAAUAAUUUUAUGCCUUCAAUAUUAAAUAAAAGAAAAAUAUACACUUUAUCAAAUCAUUCAAUUAAGACAUGAAAACAUAAGUAAAGAAGGUUCAAAAUUUUAUAAAAACAUUUAAAAAAUUUAAAGGAAUUAGAAAAAGAAUUAGAAAAACAACAAGAAUUUUCUUUGGAAAAUUUCAAGAAUUUCCAUAAAUUUUAUAGAAAAAAAUCUUGAAUUUCCUCAAACAAUUAAAUAAUUCUUUUAAUAUUUUUCUUCAAAUAACUAAUAUAAAUAAAUUAAGAGUGAUGAAUUUUUUUUUGGAAGAAUAAUCUACAACAUGGUAAUUAAGUGUCAUUGUAGAUUCACUUUUAUUUAAUUAAAUAUCAAAUCCAAAAUGUUUAAACAUCUAAAAAUUGAUGAGAAACCAUCAUUUGAAAAAAAAUAUUUAAUAGAACAUCAAACACAAAUUUGUUUUUUGUUUUUAAAAUAGAAAUUUUUAUAUAAGAAUGAGGAUCCCAAACAACAAUGGUAAUGAUGAGUGAUGAGUUAUUAUAUUUAGAACUCCCAUGGAGUCCAACUUCUUCAACAUGUUACCUCCUUUUAUUGAACCAUACUCUUCCCGAUGAUCAAGUCAUCUUUUCUCCAACAGAAAAGACAAUUCUCGAAAUACCAAGAGCAUAUCAAUGGCUUUACAAGUCCAUAUAAGUUUGUUCAACUACCAAUUUCCCUAAAAGUUUGAACUCACAAGAUUUGAACUUAGCACCUUUUGAGAUAUUGAAAAACACAAUAUGAUAAAAGUUGUAAGUUGUGUUCGAGAGAAAGUUAUUGUCUAUUGUUAGACUCUAUGGUAGAAUCAAGGGGCCUAAGAAGUGGUGGUUUACCCUAUGGUAAAUGUUUCCAACUCAUGAACUUAGUUGAUAUGAAGUUAUAUGAUAAUACCCAAUUUUUCUAAUUCAACUGUUUGAUCUAUGAUUUAUCAUUUAUGGACGUUGAUAAAAUCCUUUCAUUUAGCAAUACCUUAGGACGAUAUAACCUUAAAUUAAAGUUAGGCAAGGUUUAAACGAGGUGUAGUAAGCAACAAAAUGGUUCAGGGAGUUGAAAAUAAGUAUAGAGACAAAGACAAACAAGAAGGGGAUUGAAAUACCUUCCAUCAAAUCAAGUUUUGAUACCAUAUUGAAUUACUAAUUUUCCUAAAAGUUUACACUAACUAGAUUUGAGCUUAUAUAUACAUAUCAUGCUCCUUAACAAAAUUAACUUCAAUAUUGUAGACCAUCAAGAAAACCUAUAUAAAAACCAUGAAAAUAGUUGUCUUCAACACAUAAGCUAGAUGGAGUCACCUCAUCAAGAAUAGUGCCAUCUUCAUAUAGUGAAAGAAGAAGAUUGAGAAAUUAUAGUAUACCCUUAUGAAGGAUGGAUAUUUAUAUACAAAUAAUUUGAGUAUAUUUUUUUAUACUAAUUCAAACUCUAUCAUUUAUUCUAAUUUAAAACUGUUUGAGUUUAUCUUCUGCUUUAAUUCAAACUCUAUCUUCUACUAUAAUUUAAACUAAUAAUAGAUAAAUAUUAAUAUUUAAAUUAAGAAUAAACAUUAACUUUUUCUAACAUGCCCCCUAAAGGUGGAAUUUCGAUUGGAGAUUCCAAUCUUAGUCUUGAGAGAAAAAAAAAAAAAACCAACUACAAUGUAAUGGUUUUGGCAAAGCAUCCAUUAGUUAAUCUUUUAACGACACAUGAACAACACAAAGAGCACCAUUUUGAACCUAAUCGUAAAGGAAAUAGUGGUUUUGCAAGAAAGUGAAUCAAAGGGUCAAACAAUGAGCUAAAACAAUUGAAGGGUGAGAAAUUGAAUAUGAUGAAGGCUUGUUGAGUGUCCAUUGAAAAUGAUAAUGAAGCCAAAAACAUGAAAAUAAAGCAAUUUAACUUUUUGCUUAAAAACUUUUUGCUGAAAUUUUGAAUAAGAAAUGACAAAAACAUUAGUGGGAAAAGUAUUUACACGGUCCAUCAAAUUUAGAUCAAUUUACACGGUCCAUCAAAUACAAGUCAAAUUUAAGUCUUCAACCCAAUUGAUUUUUAAAGGUUAAUUAAAAUUCAUCUGGAUUUUAAGUCUAAAACAUAUUUAAAAUAUUUAGUCCAAAAUAUGAUCAACAUAUUUAAAUAAAUCAUUAAGUAAUUAUAAAUCAUAAAAAUGUAAGUUUUAAAAUAUCAUUUUAAUUCAAUUGUGUUGGUUAAUCAAACUUUUAAACAAAUCAACCAAAUCAGUUUCAAUAAUGCUAAAAUUACCCAACCUUUAUAAUUGUUGAAAAUCAAAUUAACCAAGUCAGUUUUCACAGCUCCUAAACUGAAUUGAGCUUCAUGAUUGUUGAAAAUCAAAUUGCUUUUAUGUUUUUUGUUAGCUUCAAUCGAUUUUUAUUAGUUUUUUAGUUUUCACUUAGACUCUCAUAAAAAUCCUUAAUAUUAACAUAGAAAUAAAUAAACAUAUUAGGAGUGGGCCUCAUUAGUAGGACUUAAAAGGCAAGUUUUAACAUUAUGAUGAAAUUUUAAGUGAAACUCAACCUUAGUAAUUACAUUCUUAGGGUCUGAGAGUCAAAAAAAAUUUGUUACAUAGUAAGCUGAAGAGGGAUUAAUGUAAAUCUAGAGCAAAUACAAAUAACAUUAGCAAUGUUCUUUCCCAUGAAAGUCAAGGGUCUUUAAUGCUUAAUUGAUCGAAUAACAACCUUGAGCAAAUUUAUAUCAAAGUGUUCAUAUAGUUGUUCUCCAUUCUACAAAGUUGCUUAGUAAGAAGUGGAGUCUGGAGUGGAUGUUUGGAUAUGAUGAAGCCUUUUAACAACUAAAGACAUCGUUAUAAUGUUGUUAAUUUAUUCCUUUCCUAUGGUUGAGGAGAAGCUCCCUUUAUACUUGGUGGCAUCUAGCACAACCAUCGUUCUUACUAGGAAAGAUAACUAGUUACAUUUGUCAAUUUAUCAUAUGAGCAAGGUUCUUAGUGAUGUAAAGACAAUGUACUCACCCUUGGAGAAAAUAAACAUUUGCUCAUGUAAGAGAACUACAUCCUUAUUUCCAAACUUAUACAAUGGCAAUCUUAAUGGAAUAUCCAUUCAGAAUAGUACUAUAGAAUCUUGACAUGUUAAGAAAAUGGAUAAGGUGGUUAAUUGAGCUUGGAGAAUUCGAGGUUCUCUAUAAGUAUAAAUGUGCAAUAAAAAGUUAGGUGUUGAUUAACUUUGCAUUGGAGAUAGGUGAAGACUGAAGUGGGUGGACUCUAAAUUGGUGAGUGAUUUUGGAACCUCCCGAAUAAUGGAUCCACUUUGCAUAAAAGAUUAGGCAUGGUGAUUGUUUUAAUGAGUCCCAAUAAGAUAAUUCUAGAAUGAACACUGAAAAUAGAGUUUGAUGAAGUAAGGUAUAAAUCAUUUAUCAUGGAAUGACAAAUGACACUCAAGUUGCAAGUAAAAAACAUUGAGAUUUAGAGUGAAUUUAAGAUUGUCAUUGAGUAGGUGUAAAACUAAUUUGAAGUCAAAGAUUCUAGGAUAUUGAAGUACCAAUGGAAGCCAAAGGAAAUCAUGUAGAAAUUUUUCAAGAUAGAAAUACAACAAUGCCCCAAGAAAAUAACCAAGAUGUCAAUUCACUAGCUUAGUUUGCUUUUGUCAUAACUUGAUGUAUACAUCAUCUUCCACUACCUUACAUUACUUGAUCGAGUUAUAAGCUUGAUAAUGAAACAAUGUUGGUAGAAGCAUAUGUAACAAGUGACUUCAAUGAGAGGAGUAUACUUAUAAUCUAUAUUUUAAAAGACGAUACUCUCCAUCUAAUAAGUUAGAGGCACAUAAACUAAAGAUAAAGUAUAUCUAAUAUGCUUUAAUAUAAGAUGCAUUCUAUCACCAUUACUUUUUAGGCUUAUAUCUCCGAUACUUGAGGGGGAAGCACAUUUUAUAUAGGUUUUCUUGAUGGUCUACAAUAUUGAAGUUAAUUUUGUUGAGGAGCGUGAUAUGUAUAUAUAAGCUCAAAUCCAGUUAGUGUAAACUUUUAGGAAAAUUAGUAAUUCAAUAUGGUAUCAAAACCUGAUUUGAUGGAAGGUCUUUCAAUCCCCUUCUUGUUUGUCUUUGUCUCUAUACUUAUUUUCAACUCCCUAAAGCAUUUUGUUUCUUACUACACCUUGUUUAAACCUUGCCUAAACUUAAUUUAAGGUUAUAUCAUCCUAAGGUACUGCUAAAUGAAAGGAUUUUAUCAACGUCCAUAAAUGAUAAAUCAUGGAUCGAACAGUUGAAUUAGAAAAAUUGGGUAUUAUCAUAUAACUUUAUAUCAACUAAGUUCAUGAAUUGGAAACAUUUACCAUAGGGUAAACCACCACUUCUUAGGCCCCCUGAUUCUACCAUAGAGUCUAACAAUAGACAAUAACUUUCUCUCGAACACAACUUACAACUUUUAUCAUAUUGUGUUUUUCAAAAUCUUAAAAGGUGUUGAGUUCAAAUCUUGUGAGUUCAAACUUUUAGGGAAAUUGGUAGUUGAACAAAUUUAUAUGGACUUGUAAAGCCAUUGAUAUGCACUUGGUAUUUCGAGAAUUGUCGUUUCUGUUGGAGAAAAGAUGACUUGGUCAUCGGGAAGAGUAUGGUUCAGUAAAAGGAGGUAACAUGUUGAAGAAGUUGGAGUUCUAAAUAUAAUAACUCAUCACUCAUCAUUAUCAUUGUUGUUUGGGAUCCUCAUCCUUAUAUAAAAAUUUCUAUUUUAAAAACAAAAAACAAAUUUGUGUUUGAUGUUCUAUUAAAUAAUUUUUUUUUAAAUGAUGGUUUCUCAUCCAUUUUUAGAUGUUUAAACAUUUUGGAUUUGAUAUUUAAUUAAAUAAAAGUGAAUCUACAAUGACACUUAAUUACCAUGUUAUAGAUAAUUCUUCCAAAAAAAAAUUCAUCACUCUUAAUUUAUUUAUAUUAGUUAUUUAAAGAAAAAUAUUAAAAGAAUUAUUUAAUUGUUUGAGGAAAUUCAAGAUUUUUUUCUAUAAAAUUUAUGGAAAUUCUUGGAAUUUUCCAAAGAAAAUUCUUGUUGUUUUUCUAAUUCUUUUUCUAAUUCCUUUAAAAUUUUUAAAUGUUUUUAUAAAAUUUUGAACCUUUUUUACUUAUGUUUUCAUGUCUUAAUUGAAUGAUUUGAUAAAGUGUAUAUUUUUCUUUUAUUUAAUAUUAUUGAAGGCAUAAAAUUAUUUAAUUUAGUGUCUAUUUGGAUGCAGUUCCAAUUUUCUAUUUUUUAAAACAAAAAAUAGUAGUAACUUUUAAUAUAAAAACUUUUGGAGGUUCAUAGUGAAAAUUUAGUAGUUUUUAAAAGCUGAAUAUAAAAUAUUGAGGUAUUAAAAUUUUUUUACUAUCUCAAAUUUUAAAAUUUUUGAAAGUAAUUUUCAAGAAUAAAUAAGGUAAGUCAACUUUUUUGCAAAAUUUUUAUUACUUCUUAUAUAAAAAUUUCUAUUUUAAAAACAAAAAACAAAAAGUAUAUCGAUAGGAGAAUUUAUUUGGCCCAUUAAUCCUAUAGAACACAACGAAAACGUUGUAUUUACAUGGAAGAGAAGGGGGUUGAUUAUGAUAUUUCACAUUGGAUGAAGGAGAAAGUUCUUGGAGUUAUAUAAGUAUAAUUUCCUUUUAACCAUAUAUAUGUGUUUUGAAGCCAUGAUGAUGUCUUUGGACCCAAAGCAAGCAAUAUCUAUACGGUUGGAUAUGAGUUAUUACACUAGCACAUAAAACAAUUAUUAAAAGGUUACUUUUGUAUGCAUAUGUAGCAAGAGACACUAGUUUGUUAAGAGUUGUGUCUCCUAUCAAAGAUGUACACUACUAUCAAUGUCGAAUAAUUAUAACUAGCCCUUGGCCUUUUGCCCGAUAGACAAUCAACAUAAUAUGGCCAUUGCCUCAAGCCCUAGGUCAAAAAUAUUUUUUCUUGGUAGCAACUAAUUAUUUUACAAAGUGGAUUAAGGCAAAGUUUUUUGUGUGAAUAUGAGAAUCAGAAGUGUGUCGAUCCUUUUAUUUGGUUUAUCUAUGAAAAAGUUGAGAAAAGAAAAUUAAAGUAGGAAUAUAUCUUGUCUUAACUUUUCUACCUUUUUUAAGCAAAAUCCAAUAGUCUUCUGUCGGCAUUUAUUCAUCAGCAACUUUCACCACCUUUUCCCAACAUUAUCUCCCUGAAAGAGUCCUACGAAAGCAGAUGAAAUACUCUCCACACCCUGGGAUAUAUCUUCAAGUACAUGAAUUUUGCCAGUGCUGAGGUGGUUCGACAUUGUUGAAAUGAAAUCAUCCAUCCCCUUCAAGUAAUCAAUCACCAAGAACCCUUGGAUCUUGAGUCUCUUGUACACAAUAUCAAUCAUAUCUGGUGCAGCUCGCUCUCCAAUCCCUGUAUAUUCCGAGAUUAUUCCACAAACAGCAAUUCUACCAAAGGGAUUCAUGUUAGCCACCGAUGCUUCCAACAUCUUGCCUCCCACGUUAUCAAAAUAUAUAUCCAUCCCAUCAGGGAAGUAUCUAUAGGAACAAAUUAACCAAUGAAUCACCUUCUAAAUGACCAUUCCUAUGAUGAAGUUUUUGAACACAUGGUUUCAUUUAUAAGGUUUUAACCAUUUUAUUUGAAAAUCAAUGAUAUCAUACACCGUAAGUCUAUCCUAAGAGAUGACAUUUAGUGAUCAGUAGUCUAGUUCAAGAGAGACCUAAUAUGACACUCUAGUUACUUGAACUCAUGACUCUUACUCUAGUACCAAUUUUUGGAUUGGAUUUUGACUAUCUCAUCUGAAAACCAAUUAAUAUUCAAUGAGAGUAAGUGAAUCUUUUAUGAAAUUUGAUAUCUUAUUUGAAAAUCAAUUGGCAUUCAGACAUUUUAUGACAUUUAAUAUUAGACUUUGCUAACCCAUUUUAAGAGAUAAUAUUUGGUGACCUAUCCACAUGGCUAAGAUUUGAAAUAUUGAUAAAUAUAGAUAUAUCAGUAUUUGUAUUUUAUGGAUAUAUUGGAACUAUCGAUGGAUAUUUUGACAAAAAAUCUAUAAGAAGAAAAUUAUUCAAAAUUCAUGAAAAUAUUUGGAAAAACUCCAAAAAAUAAUAAAAUAAGUAAGAAUGCAUAUAUUAAAGUUAUUUUAUAAAUGUAAUUGACAUAAGUAUGGUUAAGGAGAAAAAUAUAGGUAAGUAAAGAUAUAUCGGUCUUAAUAUAUAAUUUAUUAUUUAUUUUAUCAAAUUAAUUUGAAUUUAUAAAAUACUAGAACUUCGUUAUUAUUUUUUAUAUAUUUUAAUUUUUUUUAAUAAAUUUAUAUUUUUAAUAUUUUAAAAUAAAAACAUUCAAAAUUAGAAGGAUAAAUAUAAAAAAUUUAAAAGUAAAGUGAUAGUAAUUUUUUAAAAUAGGAUUAAUGAGAUAAAUAAUGAUAUAUUUAAUAUUAAAACUAUAAUUUAUUUAAUUUAAAUGUAUUCAAUAAUAUAAAAUAAAUAAUGAUGCAUAUGAUAUUUUAAUAUUUAUAUUUUUAUAUUUAAUUAUCAUAUAAAUGAUAUAAAAAGCCUUGUUAAGAAAAUUAUAAUAUUGGUUUUUAUACUUUUAUUAAUCAAUUAAAUAUAAUUUAAAAUAAAAUAAUUAGAAUUAAUUAUUCUUUUAUUUUUUAAUAAUGAAGUUUUAAUUACAUAUUUAGUGUGAACACUUAUUUACAAAAGUAAACUUGGUCUAGUGGUAAAAAUACCGAUAAAUCCCGAAAUAAUAUCAUACCUUCUAAACUUGUUUUAAUAACUAUCAUUUGGAUGACCCAUCCUCAAAUUUAAGAGCAUGAUUAUUACAACCUAACAAUGUUACUACAAUUACCUUUUGAGAGUAGACUUUAGAUCGGUUUCCUCCUUGUAGUUGAAUGCGUCAUCAAAACCAAGCUUCCCUUUUAGCAACUCAACCUAUAAUUCAAUUUUUUGACAAAAUCGUAUAAGAAUAUGGUUUGAUAUAUAGAGAAGGAGAAGUGGAAGAAGCUAGCCUUUUGUUUUGUUCCAGCACAGCCCACAACAUGACAGCCGAAGAGCUUGGCAUAUUGUCCCACCAAAUUUCCAACUGAUCCACAAGCAGCUGAUACAAACACUUUCUCCCCCUUCUUAGGUUUACAUACUUCGACGAAACCGGCAUACGCUGUUAGCCCACUAAGUCCUGCAAUCAACACUAGUUUUCAAUUCCACUAAGUUCGAAAAUUUAAAAACACUUGCCUAAGAAUGAUGUCAUGAUAAAUUUUUGCAAGAAUAAAAGAGCAAACUUACCGAGAACUCCAAGGUGGUAAGAGAGAGGAAAUCCCAUGGGAUCCAACUUCCUCAAGAUGUUACCUCCUUUGACGAUGGUAUACUCUUCCCAAUUGAUAAGCCCCACAACUAAAUCAUCCUUCUCAAACUCAGGGUUUCCAGAAGCCACAACUCUCCCAAGACCAUGAGCACUAAUGGCCUGUACAUUUUUAUUAGUUACUUCUUAGACUAUGCUGGCCAACUGAAGAACAUCAAGCAGGAACUCCACAAUUGUUGGGAUUUUUGGAGACUUCAAGAAAAUACAUAUCUUUUAUAUUUAUAAAUUUUAUGUAAAGCUCUACCCAUUUUUUCAAGAUGGAGGGUGUUUCAAUUUAGUUCCUAAAACCUUUUUAAACAAAAAUUAUUUUUGCAAAAAAAAAUAAAAAUUAAACAUUCGUUUGAUAACUAUUUUCGAAAACAAUAUUCUAUUUUUCAAAACAAAAAAUAAGGAAAAUAUAUUUAACAACCAAAAAUUGUUUUUGGUUUUCUAUUUUCUAUUUUUAAGAAUAAAAAUAGGAUAUUUAUAGAGAAUAUCUUUUCAUUUAAUUUGUUUUGUGAAAAGUGUUUUAAAAAGUAAUUAUACAAACACAUAAAAUGAUUAAAAAUAAAACACCAUUCAUAAAAUUUAUUUCCAAAAUAUAUUUUAAAAUAUUAAAAACAGUUAAGGUCUUUAAGAAGAAUUUUUUGUCUAUAAAAUAGUUUUUAAAGACUAUUUUUUAAAAUAAUUGUCAAACAAACCCUAAUGUAAAGAACACGUAUAUGAUCACAAGAAGUUUUAUACUAUAUAUUUGAAUAUAUUCAAUUUAUUUCAGUGUUUAACACAGAAUUUUUCAUCCAUUUUUUUUUUACGAAAAUUCUUAUUCCAAUGACUUAUUUGAUACUUAAGCAUAAUUGAGGAUUAAUAUUGUUUGAAAUAUUAUUUGAAAGUUAAAUUGAGACGCAAGUGAAAGUUCAUCAAAAAUUCAUUUUUGUAGUUUAUUUUUUAAAAAAAUUAAGAUGAUUUUACCUAUAAAGUGAUAUCCAAACUCUUCUACAUCAUAGAAAAAUAAAAGUUUGUCUUCUUUGCCUUUAUACUAAAAUAGUAUGAAAUGUUCAAAGAAUAAAAUCAUAGACUAUUUUUGUCUAACCUUGAUCUGAAAUAAUUAGUCAACCAUGUGAGACCAAAUCCCAAAGAAAAAUCUAAAAACAGAUUUACACCCUGACGAGCUCACCUGGCCAGGAGUUAUGCCAUCUGCAGUACUAACAAGUUUCUGCGAAGAGCAAACUCUCUUCAUUCGAUUGAUCUGGUACGGAUCGAUGGAAACAUAGAGAUUUUUCACUAUCACAUCUUUCGAACCCGGCUCCACAGAUAGAUUUAAAGCCGCAGUCUUGAGCUCAAAGUCGGAUUCCUGAGGUGAUGAUCCAUCGAUGUGGGUCUUCACUGUUACAUAUUUAUUGGUGACCUCCAUUGUUGUCUACCCUUUCUGGUUUGUUGACGGAAGCUCACUCGAUGAAAGAAGAGGAUAGGGCAGAAUGAUUGAGAUUUGAGACUGAUGAAGUGU
This 53954-nucleotide long non-coding RNA is filed under the name Vitis vinifera (wine grape). RNAcentral's name for it is "long non-coding RNA (VVIN_LNC003589)". Lineage: Eukaryota; Viridiplantae; Streptophyta; Magnoliopsida; Vitales; Vitaceae. The record is from RNAcentral.